Molecule: long non-coding RNA, 70254 nt
Filed under: Sorghum bicolor (sorghum)
Lineage: Eukaryota; Viridiplantae; Streptophyta; Magnoliopsida; Poales; Poaceae
Description: long non-coding RNA (SBIC_LNC000033)
Source: RNAcentral
CCAAUUACUAAACCAAAGAUACCACCUCUGUUUCAUCUGCUACAUCAAAACGGAUAUCAAAAUAGUGUCUCAGGCUCUCAGCACAGAUUGACAAACUACAUGAUGACCAAUAUAGUUCAGAGACAGGUGCAUUCGACAACUAAAACGAAGCAAAAUAUUCAAGUCGUUCCCAUUACAGUACACGAAUUGACGAUUAAACCAGCAGGUGUAACAGUAGAACAAACAACCAAAAAUUUAGAGCUUGUCCUCAAACUCAGAGAGAGGGGUCAUCUGUUCCUUGAGACCCUUCCUCUUGCGGAUAUCCAGCACCAGCUGAGCAGCCUGGGAGCCAGCCUCCAAAGGAUCAGAGCCCAUCAUGUCCCAAUGGUCAAAGACACACUGGGGGAACGCCUGACCAGAGGUUGCAGCCCUCAGUUGGCUGGAGAACCCAAACGACUCGAUGACAGGGAGGUAAGCCUUGAUGUUGUAGAGCGGGGUACCCGGCCUCUGCAUCUCCUCAAACACAUGCCCUCUCUUCUGGUUCAGAACACCGUAGAUACCACCAAGUGCAUUUUCUGGGGCCUGAAUCUCCACCAGGUACACUGGCUCCAGCAGCCUUGGCUUGGCCGUGAGCUGAGAAGCAUAGAUGACCCUCCUGGCAGUUGGGAUGACCUGGCCACCACCCCUGUGGAUAGCAUCAGCAUGAAGAACGACAUCACAGACCUCAAAGCAAAUUCCGCGCAUGUUCUCCUCAGCCAGUGCACCCUCCUUUGAUGCCCACUGGAAACCAGCCACGACAGAAUCCUUGAUUUCAUUGAGAUACUGCACUCCCUUACACAUAUCAACAACCAUGUUUGGGCCAGUGGUCUCAGGUCCAAAACACCAAAUCUUCUUGGCGAGAUCCUUGUCCCACCCAAACUCCUGAGAGAGGAUCUGGGAGCGCACCUUAGGAUCAUCACGUGGGCCAAUGCGGCCAUCAUCGAUGGCCUCAGCGAGACCCUCCUCCAAGGGGCGUGCUUCCAUGUACAGACGGUUGUGCUUGUUGGGAGACUUGCUCAUGACAGUACGGCAGGACUUCUCAAGAACGGUUUCCCGGAAGGACACAACAGGAGGGGAAACAAUAAUUUCAGCACCACCCAUGAAGUCCUCCUGCAGAUCCUUCAGGCAAAUCUCAAGAUGAAGCUCACCAGCUCCAGCAAUGAUAUGCUCACCAGACUCUUCGAUUGUACAGAGAACCAUAGGAUCAGACUUCGCCAGACGCUUCAAACCUUCGACUAGCUUGGGAAGGUCAGAGGCAACCUUGCACUGAACAGCAACACGCACAACAGGGGAGACAGAGAACUUCAUUGCUCUGAUCGGGCAUGCAUCAACCUCCUUCUCAUUAGUGAGUGUAGCGUUCUUCGUGAUGAACUGGUCCAGACCAACCAUAGCAACAGUGUUGCCACAAGGAACAUCCUCAACUGACUCUUGUUUCUUUCCCAUCCAGAUAACGGUACGCUGGACACUCUUCACAUACAGAUCCUUCUUCUGCCCAGGGACAUAGUUGGGACCCAUGAUCCGAACCUUCAUACCAGUAGCAACCUUCCCUGAGAAGACACGACCGAAGGCAAAGAACCUGCCCUUGUCGGAUGCUGGAAUCAUCUUCGAAACAUACAGCAUAAGAGGGCCCUCCGGAUCACAGUUUCUGAUGGCAGUUGCAUAGACAUCAUCAAGGGGCCCCUCAUACAAGUUCUCCACACGAUACUUUUGAGCCUUUGCCGGGGAAGGAAGGUGGAAUAUCAUCAUCUCGAGCAGUGCAGUGCUUGCUGGUAGCCACGUUUGCAUAACACGCUUCAUCAAAGCUUUGCCAAUCAAUUCCUUCUCAUCAGACUUCAUGGUAACAUUGAGCUUUUGCAGCAUGGGCCACAAUUUCUCCUUCUGGUCGUUCAUGCAGGUGUUGAUGAUUUGCUUGAUUGGCUCAUAGCAGAACUGAACAAAUCCUCUCUUGCAGGUAGGGGAGCCUGUGUUCUUGGUUGUCCAUUUCUUGGUGGCAGGGUCAAAGAAGUUCUCACCCCAAAGCCUCUCCAUCAUCUUAGAUUCAUCAACUCCAAACUUAGAUGCAUACAUCUUGGCAAAGUUAGUGAGGGUAAAGGCCCAUCCGUGCAGACCAGCAGAAAAAGCAACAGUCCCCUUCUCUGGGUACACUUGGACGUCACCAAGGAGCUUAUCUUCGUAUGUUGCCAUGAUGACAUUGGCAUUCUCAAUGACACGGGAGAAGGUCUGGUAAGCUUCCUCGCCCUCAACCUGAAGCUCAAGGAAGCACCUGUCCAUCUUGUUCACGGUAAGAACUGGCCUAAUCCUCUCACCAAGGGCUUGGCGAAGCACAGUUUCAGUUUGCACACAGACACCUUCAAUACAGUCAACCACCACAAGAGCACCAUCGGUGAUGCGAAGAGCAGCUGUGACUUCCGAAGAAAAAUCAACGUGCCCAGGCGAGUCAAUAAGGUUGAUCAGGUAUUGGUUACCAUCUCUCUCACCCUUGUAAUUCUUCAGUGACUCGUCAGUCAUCUCAUAGUAAAGAGAGAUACCGGUAGAUUUGAUUGUAAUACCACGCUCUGCUUCAUCUGCACGAGUAUCAGUCAUGCGAACAUCACCAGCAACUUCCUGGGCAAUAAUCCCAGCAGCUGCCACAAGGGAAUCUGUAAGCGUAGACUUGCCUGCAAAGAAUUUAUAAUAGCAUAUAAGAACAGCAAGGAAAUUCAACAUGUGCAUCAUAUGGUAGUACAAUAUUAGGGACAGACAAGCAAAUCAAAAGUUAACAAACACAGUAGUAGAUUACAAUCUAGAGUAUAUAAUUAUGAACAGAUACUAUGUAAACCACCAUAUCUAAAAUAUACAAUGUAUUUCCUACAUGUGAUAAAUAUCUGAACAUAAGCAGUUAACUAUGCCUAAAAUAGAUAGUGCAGCGAGAAAAGAAACAUUAGCUGUAACAGAGCUUAAAUGUUGAAAACAUAAAAGUUAACAACUCAGUAGUAGUAUAUUACAAUCUAAUACAUACAGCCAGCAGAUAGUAUGUAUACCACAAUAUCCAGACAAAAGCAAUACAUUAACUGUAGAUGAAAAAAGCAAUUAGGGGAUAAAUGUCUGUGAUAUAGGCCUAUAGUAGAUAAUGCAGCAUGAAUAGAAGCAUUAGCACUCAGGCACAAUAGAGAGCUUAAAUAUUGAAACAAAAUUAAUCUUGACAUCAAAAUCAAAAAGGCUUGAAAACAUUAAGGAAUGCAUGUAUAUAUAUGCUAUCUAACAGAGCAGUGUUCUGAACAUACCAUGGUCCACAUGAGCAAUAACAGACAUGUUACGAAUGUUGUUCUUUUUGUCCAUGAUACCACGGAGCUCUUCAGCUGUGAACUUCACCAUCUUGACUUCUUAUAAAGGUCACGCUACGAAUACCAAUAUUUAUUCCUGCAGUUGAAAGUUCAGGUAUUACUAAGAAUACAAUAAUAAACAUGAGAAAAUAACUAUACUGAAAACUUUGACAUUGACAUCAGCAGCAAAGAAGUAAUAACCACUACAGUUGUCAGGAACAAAGAGAGGGAAAUUAUUAACCAUUUCAGAAAGUUAAUAAAAAUGUUUUAACAUGCAGUAUUUGUCAGGAUACAGUAUUCCAUUAAUAUACACCAUACUCAUACUUCACAGGAUUGUGAGCACAAAAGGCUAAGAAAAAAGUAAACUGAAAACUCAUACUUCACAGGAUUGUGAGCACAAAAGCCUCGUUAAUCUAAGAUCUACAGCACAACUUAUUUUCCUCAAAAAAAAGAGAGAGACCAUCGAAGUAACACACGAAACAAUCAAAUAAUAGCAAUUUGGGCUCGAGCCGCUUGCAUAGCAUAUGCACGGAUAUGGACACAGUAUCAGGAGGAUACGGAUAUAGAGAUACGAUAUUUUUUCUUUCAGAAAACAUGAUACGAGCACAUAGCAGGAAAAUAAAACUGUCCUAUAUCCUAAAAGCAGUUGCAACGUAGCACCAAUAACCAAAAAAAUGCAGUUUAUUGCGGUUGACCUGUUAUAGCUGCUGGAUCCCGUCCACGAUCUUACAAGUGACCAGACCAAACAAGUGACCAGACCAAACAGACAAUUCGAGUAACUAAGAAUAAGGACAGGAUCCCGUCCACAAUCUUACAAGUGAUCACAGACAAUUCGACUAAGGGACAAGGGACAGUAACAGGGUAAGGGAGAGGGGAAAGAGAAGAAGCUGUUUUGUAGUCGAUUUACCGUGGGCGUCGCCGGAGAUAGAGCUCGCUGCCGGCGCCGGAUCGCGUCGCAGGCGCGGGGGCGGGCGGCGGCUGCGGUGCGGUAGAGAUGGGUGACUGGGGGAGGUGAGCAGAGAUAGGGUUUUCUGUGCUCUUUGUAUAGUAUAUAUAUAGGGGGUUAAUGGGCCAAACGUUUAACGGCCCACAAACUUAAAUGGUCCAAGAGACGUUGGCCCAAAUAUCCGAUUUGUUGAAAAAAAUUAUAAAAUCGGAUUUAGGUGUUCUCUUAUAAAAUUGCAAAACUAGCAUCUUGUCGCUAUUCAACGGCCGAUAGGACACCUGUUGGCUAUCGAAAACUAGUUGGUCCUCCAAUCGGCUCGUCAUUGGCCGAGGCCAGUCUCUUUACUAUUUUGGUUUUAAGAAAUUUUUUUAUAUUAGCCCUUGUUUAGUUUCCAAAAAGUGCAAAAAAAAAUUCAAGAUUCUCCGUCACAUCAAAUCUUACGGCGCAUGCAUGGAGCAUUAAAUAUAAACAAAAAUAAAAUUAAUUGCACAGUUUACCCGUAAUUUGCGAGACGAAUCUUAUGAGCCUAGUUACUCUAUGAUUGACAAUAUUUAUCAAAUACAAACGAAAAUGCUACAGUAGUGUUUUCCAAAAAAAAAUUGGCAACUAAACCAGGCCUAAGCAAAAUAUAUAAAGACCCCCAAAAAAUUAUUAACAAAUAGUUCAGCUAAUCUUUUUAGGAUCUGUUCAUCGAUGGUUUAACAAAUCAAAUGUGAAUAAAUAGUACGCAUGCCAUUAGUGGAAACCCUACGUGAAAAAUAGUCUCUCUCACAUCAUAACCAUUAGUUGACGUAUUAUUUGAUAUAUUGACAACUAGCUUCUCGUCGCCUCCAGCAUGAACAAUCAUGAGCUCUAGAAUUUUUUUAGCCCAAUAAACUAAUAUUUUUAAAAAACAUCACAACUAAAUUUUUAGAAACUACUCGAUAUGGAUUUUGUGCUAGUCAUUUUUUUAGGUUUGAUUAGGUUUUAAAAAUAUUAAAAAUAUUUUUAUCUUUAAUAAUUUUAUUAUGAAAAAUAUAUUCAAUGACUUAUCUAAUGGUACUAAUUCUGCAUGACAAAUAAUAUUAUUUUCUUACAUAUAUUUUAUCAAAGUAAAAAAAUGACUUAUCGAAAGAUAGAGGAAGUAGCUCUUUUAGCCACGUCAAAAUUAAACUGCCAUCCGUCAAUCUUUUUUCAAUCAUCCAUUUUAUCGGCCGAGCAUCUCCCAUUUUUCUUAUAUAAAAUACAAAAAAAAAAUCCGGACUCACUUCCUCUACCUUUGUCGAUCGUGCAUCACACUAUAAAAAGAGCGAGUUUUUUUAGGGAGCUCUCCCUCUCUAAUAACCGUUCGAUCUAAACGUCGUGCUAUAUGUGCCUUCUGUCACCCGUGAUCUUACAUAAUAUAAGAUAUAAGAUUCCUCCUAAACCAAGAUUCCUCCUAGAUUCCAAAAACGGAAUAUAAUAGUCCAUAUUUGCAUAUUGGAGUCCAAUUCCAAUCCGCAUGCAUAGCUUUUCUGAUUUUUUAAGUCCAAUUCAUUAGCCGUUUCGACUUUUUUAAUUUCAAGAAAGAAUUAAGAGCAUAUUUUCUUUUUACCGUGCAUGCUUAAGAUCGGGCAUGCAUGAUCACUUGUUCAAGAAUAUACAUACAAGAUCUACCGGCAAUAGGAAGUCAAAUCAAAUUGAGAUAUAUUCACGCCAAUUUUAAAAAAUCAACCUAUUCAUGACAAUGUGGUAUGAGAUGACCCGUAUGAAUUCUCCUGCGUGAAUAGCGUUGAUCAUGAUUGGUCUUUGAGUCAAUCGGCAACGAAACAAACUUAAUUGGAGAGGCUAGAGCUGGGUUAAGGAGAAAUCUUGGUUUAAUAGGAGUCUUGUAUCUUUCAUGUAAGAUUGAUUUUCCUUUUUUAGGUAUACGAGGAAUCUUGGUUUAGAAAAAGUUUUACAUUUUACAUAUAAGAUCACAGAUGACAAAUGACUCAUAUAGCACGACAUAUAGAUCGAACAGAGAGCCUCCUUGAAAAAACUCACCGCCGCUGGCCGCGGAUUGUUCGAAAAAAGAAAAAAUAAUAUACAUCAAGAUGCAUACAUGCAACUAAUAAAUAAAUUAAUUGGAAAAAGAAAAAUAUGGAUGCGUGGAUGCAACUAUAAUAAAUAACAUCAAUAUGAAUGCAUGCUGGCGUAUGUAUUAGCAAUUAAAAAGAAAAAUAAAUUUGAACACACGUGAUUUUAUUUAUUAUGAUAAACAAGAAAGAAAAAACUAGCAAACGUUUUACAUUGUUUAUAGUACCAUAUUAUGAAUGAAUAAGUGAAAAUAAAAUCAAGGAACAUCUGAUAAUACAAACACGUGCGUGACGCACGUGCAUAUUUGCUAGUGUUUGAAAUCUCCCACUAUAGGUUUCUGCUCGGACUGGGUUCAGCUGAUUAUGAAGUGCGUUAUCUCUGUGUCGUAUCGGCUGAAAGUAAACGGCAACCGGUCUAACAGUUUUGUGCAAGAGCCUGGUCUACGGCAGGAGGAUCCACUCUCCUCCUAUCUAUUCCUACUCGGUGCAAAAGGCUUCAGUGGUUUUGUUGAAGGAUGCUGAACCAAGGGGUAUGAGAGUGUGUCCGAGAGAAUGCCAUGCAUUUGAAGUCUAUUCUACAGCUGUAUGAGAGUGUGUCCAGGAGAAGUCUGCUGUUCUCCAGUCAAAAAAUUGAUGAACCCUGAUUCGCUAUGUGCCCAAGUGCUGCGAGCAAGAUACUUCUCUGAUGGUGAUGUGCUACGAGCCAAACCGAAGAGGAUCAUGUCCUAUACUUGGCGCAGUAUCUUGGCCGGGAUCGAGGUGCUUAAGAAGGGACUGAUCUGGACAAUUGGUGAUGGAAUAACUACCGCUACAUGGACUGAUGAUUGGAUUCCAAGGGAUCAUUUGAGAAAACCAUACACGCCGAGGGCUGCUGACACGAGUGCAUGAACUUCUUGAUCCAACAAUGGACUGAUGAUGUGCUACUUUUUGGCAGGAAGACGAGCGAGGUCAUAUUGAGCAUCCCUGUUCAUGACAGGGAAUGGAUGACAUGAUUGCUUGGCACUACAACAAGACUGGCAUCUCCUCUGUAAAGUCGGCCUACAAAAUCCAAGUUGCCAACAGGGAAAAAAGCAAUGCAGAGCUAGGAGUGGUGGGUCAGUAAUGCUAAUGGCGAUCAGCUGUGGAAGAAGCUAUGACAAGUAGACUGUCCAAAGAAAAUGUUGCACUUUAUGUGGAGACUGUGUCAUAAUAGUUUGGCCUUGCGUGUCAACCUAAAACGCCAGGGUAUCAAAUUGAAUCCCUGCUGUGUUCUCUGUGGGCGGUGUCUGGAUGAGGAUGGAGCUCAUUUAUUUUUCAAGUGCAAAGAUGCAAAGAGAGUAUGGGAAGAUAUGCAGCUCCAUGGUGUGAGGGAUCGGCUUGCACAAGCCAUCACGGCAGUUCUGAAACUGAAGGAAGAAGUGCAGCGAAGGGUGAUUACUUUCAUGUACAUUUGGUGGUCGGAACAAUGCAGAGUUCACGAAGGGGAUGCACAAAGGAGUCCAGAACAGAUCGUCCAGAUAUACUGUAAUAGUCAGUUGCUACUCCGAAGAAUGGGCUUCUCUGAAGAAUAUUUAGGCAGCACCUAUCUCCACUAUAAUUGAAAAACUUUUUGGAACCAGACAAACUUACUCCCCCAACAAACUCAUCCCACCGCAGUCCACUAAUCCGGCCCACUAAUGUUCACCGUAACCAAUCCUCACGCCGCGGUCUCUCCAGGUCAAUCACGGUUCAUCUCAAAAUUGAAUCCACUCCGCCUGCCGUCCAUUUGAAACCACCACCUGCCGUUCAUUUGAAUCCACUCAUCUGCCGCCACAAUCUACGCCUCCCUUCCUCUUCCAGCGUACCAGCGAUCUACGUACAAGCAGAGCACAUACAAGCAGGACACCGCCAAGAGCACGUACUUGACGUCGGCGCCGCCACAUCUACUCUUGUCCUCCACAACGACACGGCGGACGGCAGGGAGACGGACUUUGGAUCGGCAACAGUCAGGUGAUUUUGUGAUUCAUAUACAAGAGCGUACAAACGGUAAAAAAAUAUAAUGCUUUUGCAGAUUAUUUUUGGCUUUUGAUCUUUAGUGUAGACUGUAGGUUACGUUUUACUACCUGCAGGCAAUUUUUUUAUCUUCCUCUAAAUAAUACAAGUAGUAACUAAUAGUACAAGUAUGCGCCGAUCAUUAUAGUGCUUAGGUGUUGCCCCUGCUGCAUGUCAUAAAUUAAACCAUCUAAUCGUCUUGCUUAGGUCCCUGACGGCAACAUGAAACCAUUAGUGAUCUCAGCAUGCAUGGUCCUGUAGUAUAUGCAUAUACAUCUGAAUGGUUGCAUGUACAUCUAAAUCUAUAUACAUAUACAUCUGAAUUAUUCCAUGGUUUCAGAUAUUUUACAAUAGUUGGAUCAUGAAUCAUUUAACAUGGAUUCUGAAUGGUUCCAUGGUUUCAGAUAUUUUAUAUCUGAAAUAUUAUUAAUAUUUUACAAGAGGAAAAAGAGUUGGAUCAAGAAUUAUUUAAUAUGGGUAUUCGGAUGCUCGCGCGCUGACAAAACAAAAAUACCACCUCAUGGAUCUUAAAUUUGUUGUAAGUUGUUAUAUAUAAAUCAUUAUAAAAUAGUAUAAUUCAUUAAAAAUUGCUAAUUUCUACAAAUUCAACAGGAAAUAAUUAGGUUUGAAUGAGAUCCACGAUGUUGUGGACCGGUUAACAAAGUAUAUUAAGAAAAACUGAAAAAAGUACUUGAGUGUUGGCCUGACAUACAAUAUCACAUAAAUGACUGUAGCAAUGUAAGUUAAGUUUUAUUUACUAUAUACUUUGUUUAAUUAAUUUUUUGCACUUACCAAUCAAAUAUUCUAUUUAUGUGUCUUAGAUUCUACUACCGUAUUAUCGAGACGGACUGUAUAUUUUAUUCAUAAUAGACAUGUAAAACAAAAUUGUGCGUAUUAUGGAUCCACUACAAAGACAAACUGCUUUGGCUGGUUUUAGUCAAGAUAUGGUAUAUACAACUACAUUCCAAGCUAUUGCUACAAUGUUCACGUUCGCCAUGAAACUAUCAAAAUCAAAGAGGAACCACUGUAUAUCUUCAUGGCGGCGAGAAUACCCUGCAUGCGUGACAAAGGUUACAUCAAACCACAAAGACUGGUAUUACUUUUGGUUCAACUUUGUUUUAGUUGUAACAAAUAUUUCAGUUUUGUAUGCCAAAUAAACAAUUGAUCUUGUACAGGAACUGGGAGGAUUUCUUGUAUACAAUUUCACGAAGUUGUGGGAUGAUGUAAAAUUGUCACCGAUCAAUAAUGUAAGCAUAUGCAGUCUCCAACUAUAUUUGCAUCAAUACACGAUUAAAUAUUAACAUAAUAAUAUCUGUCAUUCACAGCUGUCAAGAUCACUAAGGACGGAGUUCUUGGCUGACAUUUUGGCGAGUCAUGCAAACAAGUGCUACGACAACAUCCCUGAAGAUAUCCAAUAUUUGAUUAAAAAGUUAGGAAAAUGUAAAGAUAUCUUUAUGUACUGAUGGUUCAUAAAAUGUAUAUAGACUCAAAAACAAUUGUUCAAAAUUAAAAUUCUAAAAAAAUUACUAUGAUUUAUAUAGCAUUUCCUAGCCUUUUCUCCGUUCUGACAAACAUGUAGGGUUAGUCGCGUGCCACCGCUUCUCCACGAGUCGGAACGGAGACACUAGGUCUUGUUUACUUCUAUUUUUUUUUAAAUAGGAAUAGUAACAUUUUCGUUUGUAUUUGACAAAUAUUGUCCAAUUAUGUACUAACUAGGCUCAAAAGAUUCGUCUCAUCAAUUUCGACCAAACUGUAUAAUUAGUUUUUAUUUUUUAUCUAUAUUUAAUACUUCAUGCAUACGUACUAAACAAGGCCCUGAUCCCCUUCUCUCCUUGCACCUAUAACAUGCUAGGGGCAUGUUAGUCUUUUUUUACGAGUGGCCCCAUUCGACGGUUCACGGUCUGUUUAGAUUCAAAUCUUUACAUCUUAAAUAGGUGUUUAAAUCCUUCUUAAAUUUUUUUUAUCUGCAACACAAGACACGAGUCCCUAAGCAAGUUUACACAGUUUUAGGGCUCUAAGAGCAUCUCCAAGAGAUUAGCCAAAUCAUUUUCUAAAGGUAAAUUUGGCUAUUGUUGAAGGAAAAACUUCUCCAACAGAUUUUGUAAAUGACGGUUCAAAUUUAGCAGCUCUCCAUUCCACCUUAUUCGCUCUCUACUUUUAGAUAGCCUACCUCACUAGUCAUUCUUUUAUACAGUCUGUUGGAGUACUCUAAUAUCUUUUUAUCAAAUCUAUUUUAGAGAGCAAUUAAAUCAGUAAAUUUGCCUAGUCUUUUUGGCUAAUCUCUUGGAGAUGCUCUAAGGUCCCAAAUUCCAAAUCUUUACAACCCAAGUUUUACAAGCCCAUGUUUAGAUCUAUUCUUCCAAAAAAUACUCAUUUCUCUAAAAGUUUUGGCUGUAUCUAAACAGGGCCUCGAUGUUAUGGUAGUGUCAUUUUGGGAACAGAAAUUUUAAGGAAGGGUAAAAGAAAGAUUUGAAGUUUCGAUGUCAAAUGGGGAACAACAUUUUUUUAAUGUCAAAUAAGGAUUUUUCUCAUUUAUAGAACUGAGUUACGAUUUUAUAAACAAAUUCAUGCAUGCAUUAAACCCGUCACCUGAGAUAAACCAAAGGAGCACAUACAAAACUAGACAAAACGACCCAAUAAAAAUAGGAAUGAUUCCUAACUCAUGUUCUUAACAAGUAAUUACCCUAUAUCCAAAACUAGACAAGGAAAAAUACGACUGUCCAAGAAAUUGCUUAACUGAUAUCCUAGCUGAUAGCUACAACAUCCAACCCAAAAAUGAGGGUAAUUUUUUGUUGCUCAUUGUCAAGCCAACGUCCAGGCCUAAACUUCACACUCCAACAGAGCCUAGUGUAAUAGCCCAAAAAUUUCUAACCUACCAUGAAUCACACAUGUGCAACACAUUUAGCAUACAUUUGAAUGUUUUUAAUUUAAUUUGAAAAUAAUCCUAAAUUUGAGCAUGCUUCAUUAAGGAACUUUGAGUUUCACUUAAACAUGCAUGCUAAGAAAUUACAUGACAAACUACUAUUUUUCAAACUAUAAAAAUAGAUAUUUUUUCUUGAUUUUUGCGAAAACAUUUUAGGGCUAAAUAGCUUAACCAAAAUCUUAAACAUAAGUAUAUAACAUUAAGCAAAAUUACAAAGGUUAUUAUGAUGCAAGAUAAAAGUAAAAUGGGCCAUGCAUGUUUUUUGGCAUCUACCUAAAAAGUUAUAAGAUUUUACGAGAUUUCUCUGUACAACCGAAUCAUAAAUAUACGCGGCUCAUCAUGGACACAUCCCAAAAAAUUUGGCCAUUUAAACCUAUCUUAAUUCUAUGCACCCUACAGCCGAAUCAUAAAUAUACGGGACUCAUCAUGGACACGUCAAUAGAAAUAUCAAAAGAGCUGCAAAAAUGACUAUACACUUCACAUGGAAAAGGCAAGGAAACAACCAACAAAAGGGUGAAUUUAACUGACAGAUCAGGCAAAGCGUUAUUAAGACAAUAGAAAUGAGCAACACAGGGAAUACAAGUAUGUAACCACUAACUAAACCACACAGAUACCAACUCCGUUUCAUCUGCUACAUCACACCAGAUAUCAAAAUGGAGUCUCAGGCUCUCAACACAGCAGCAUACACUACAUGACCAAUAUAGUUCAGAGACAGGUACAUUAACUAAAACGAGAGAAAAUAUUCAAGUCGUUCCCAAUACAAUAGACAAAUUGACGAUUAAACCAGCAAUAGUAACAGUAGAACAAACAACCAAAAAUUUAGAGCUUGUCCUCAAACUCAGAGAGAGGGGUCAUCUGUUCCUUGAGACCCUUCCUCUUGCGGAUAUCCAGCACCAGCUGAGCAGCCUGGGAGCCAGCCUCCAAAGGAUCAGAGCCCAUCAUGUCCCAAUGGUCAAAGACACACUGGGGGAACGCCUGACCAGAGGUUGCAGCCCUCAGUUGGCUGGAGAACCCAAACGACUCGAUGACAGGGAGGUAAGCCUUGAUGUUGUAGAGCGGGGUACCCGGCCUCUGCAUCUCCUCAAACACAUGCCCUCUCUUCUGGUUCAGAACACCGUAGAUACCACCAAGUGCAUUUUCUGGGGCCUGAAUCUCCACCAGGUACACUGGCUCCAGCAGCCUUGGCUUGGCCGUGAGCUGAGAAGCAUAGAUGACCCUCCUGGCAGUUGGGAUGACCUGGCCACCACCCCUGUGGAUAGCAUCAGCAUGAAGAACGACAUCACAGACCUCAAAGCAAAUUCCGCGCAUGUUCUCCUCAGCCAGUGCACCCUCCUUUGAUGCCCACUGGAAACCAGCCACGACAGAAUCCUUGAUUUCAUUGAGAUACUGCACUCCCUUACACAUAUCAACAACCAUGUUUGGGCCAGUGGUCUCAGGUCCAAAACACCAAAUCUUCUUGGCGAGAUCCUUGUCCCACCCAAACUCCUGAGAGAGGAUCUGGGAGCGCACCUUAGGAUCAUCACGUGGGCCAAUGCGGCCAUCAUCGAUGGCCUCAGCGAGACCCUCCUCCAAGGGGCGUGCUUCCAUGUACAGACGGUUGUGCUUGUUGGGAGACUUGCUCAUGACAGUACGGCAGGACUUCUCAAGAACGGUUUCCCGGAAGGACACAACAGGAGGGGAAACAAUAAUUUCAGCACCACCCAUGAAGUCCUCCUGCAGAUCCUUCAGGCAAAUCUCAAGAUGAAGCUCACCAGCUCCAGCAAUGAUAUGCUCACCAGACUCUUCGAUUGUACAGAGAACCAUAGGAUCAGACUUCGCCAGACGCUUCAAACCUUCGACUAGCUUGGGAAGGUCAGAGGCAACCUUGCACUGAACAGCAACACGCACAACAGGGGAGACAGAGAACUUCAUUGCUCUGAUCGGGCAUGCAUCAACCUCCUUCUCAUUAGUGAGUGUAGCGUUCUUCGUGAUGAACUGGUCCAGACCAACCAUAGCAACAGUGUUGCCACAAGGAACAUCCUCAACUGACUCUUGUUUCUUUCCCAUCCAGAUAACGGUACGCUGGACACUCUUCACAUACAGAUCCUUCUUCUGCCCAGGGACAUAGUUGGGACCCAUGAUCCGAACCUUCAUACCAGUAGCAACCUUCCCUGAGAAGACACGACCGAAGGCAAAGAACCUGCCCUUGUCGGAUGCUGGAAUCAUCUUCGAAACAUACAGCAUAAGAGGGCCCUCCGGAUCACAGUUUCUGAUGGCAGUUGCAUAGACAUCAUCAAGGGGCCCCUCAUACAAGUUCUCCACACGAUACUUUUGAGCCUUUGCCGGGGAAGGAAGGUGGAAUAUCAUCAUCUCGAGCAGUGCAGUGCUUGCUGGUAGCCACGUUUGCAUAACACGCUUCAUCAAAGCUUUGCCAAUCAAUUCCUUCUCAUCAGACUUCAUGGUAACAUUGAGCUUUUGCAGCAUGGGCCACAAUUUCUCCUUCUGGUCGUUCAUGCAGGUGUUGAUGAUUUGCUUGAUUGGCUCAUAGCAGAACUGAACAAAUCCUCUCUUGCAGGUAGGGGAGCCUGUGUUCUUGGUUGUCCAUUUCUUGGUGGCAGGGUCAAAGAAGUUCUCACCCCAAAGCCUCUCCAUCAUCUUAGAUUCAUCAACUCCAAACUUAGAUGCAUACAUCUUGGCAAAGUUAGUGAGGGUAAAGGCCCAUCCGUGCAGACCAGCAGAAAAAGCAACAGUCCCCUUCUCUGGGUACACUUGGACGUCACCAAGGAGCUUAUCUUCGUAUGUUGCCAUGAUGACAUUGGCAUUCUCAAUGACACGGGAGAAGGUCUGGUAAGCUUCCUCGCCCUCAACCUGAAGCUCAAGGAAGCACCUGUCCAUCUUGUUCACGGUAAGAACUGGCCUAAUCCUCUCACCAAGGGCUUGGCGAAGCACAGUUUCAGUUUGCACACAGACACCUUCAAUACAGUCAACCACCACAAGAGCACCAUCGGUGAUGCGAAGAGCAGCUGUGACUUCCGAAGAAAAAUCAACGUGCCCAGGCGAGUCAAUAAGGUUGAUCAGGUAUUGGUUACCAUCUCUCUCACCCUUGUAAUUCUUCAGUGACUCGUCAGUCAUCUCAUAGUAAAGAGAGAUACCGGUAGAUUUGAUUGUAAUACCACGCUCUGCUUCAUCUGCACGAGUAUCAGUCAUGCGAACAUCACCAGCAACUUCCUGGGCAAUAAUCCCAGCAGCUGCCACAAGGGAAUCUGUAAGCGUAGACUUGCCUGCAAAGAAUUUAUAAUAGCAUAUAAGAACAGCAAGGAAAUUCAACAUGUGCAUCAUAUGGUAGUACAAUAUUAGGGACAGACAAGCAAAUCAAAAGUUAACAAACACAGUAGUAGAUCACAAUCUAGAGUACAACCUCCGUCCCAGAAAGAAUGCAAUUCUAGCAGUGUCGCGUUUUAGUACCUUAAGUUUGACCAAUUAUAGAUAAAAGAGUAUCAAUGUUUAUGAUACCAAAUAAAUAUCAUUAGAUUAAUUAUGAAAUGUAUUUUCAUAAUAAAUUAAUUCAAAGCCAUAAAUGUGAAUAUUAUCAACAAGAAACUUAGUCAAACGUGAAUUCCUUUUUGUGGUGCGCAACCCAUGGUUGCAUUCUUUUCAGGACGGAUGUAGUAUAUAGCUAUUAACAGAUACUAUAUAAAACACAAUACCUAGAGAACCAGUACAUUAAUUAAAAGAUGACAAAAGGAUAAGCCCAUUUCCUACAAGGGGUAAAUAUCUGAACAUAAGCAGUUCACAAGGCCUAAAAUAGAUAGUGCAGCAAGAAAUGAAACAUCAUCUAUAAAGCACAAUACAGAGCUUAUAAAAUAUUGAAAACACAAAAGUUAACAACACACUGGUAUAUUACAAUAAAAAUACAGCCAACAGAUUGGAUAAAUAUCAGUGAAUAUUGAAACAAUGAACAUGAAUAGAACCAUCAGCAGUCACGCACAGUACAGAGCUUAAAUAUUGAAACAGAACAAAUCGACAUCGAAAAGGCUUGAGCAGUGUUCUGAGCGUACCAUGGUCCACAUGAGCAAUAACAGACAUGUUACGAAUGUUGUUCUUUUUGUCCAUGAUGCCACGGAGCUCUUCAGCCGUGAACUUCACCAUCUUGACUUCUUAUAAAUAUCACACUACCAAUAACAAUAUUUAUUCCUGCUGUGAAGGUUCAAAAGUACUAGUAAGAAUUUACUCAAAAAUAUGAGAACAAAACUAAACUGAAAACUUUGACGUUGACAUCAGUAGCAAAAGUAAUUAACCAAUAUGAUUGUCAGGAACCAAAGAUACAUGGAAAUUCUUAGCAAUUUCAGAAAGUUAAUAAAAUGUUUCAACAAUCAUUAUUUGUCAUGAUACAUUAUUCCAUUGUUUACACCACACUUCACAGGAUUGUAAACACAAAAGCUAAUAAAGUAAACUGGAAAACAUGUAUCUAAUUGCAGACAAGGUGCAAAAUCGUUUAACUAAGAUCUACAAUCAGGACAACAUGUUCUGUAAAAAACAAUCGAAGUAACAGGCACGAAAUAAUCAAAUAAUAGCAACUCGGGUUGAGGCGAUCACAUAGCAUACUAUAUGUAUGCACAGAUAUGGAGAUAAGGUAUUUUUCUUUUCAGAAAACAUGAUACGGGGACAUAGCAGGAGGAUCAAAAUUGCCCUGUAUUCUAAAAGCAGUUGCAGCGUAGCAGGAACACAAAAAUCGCCCUAUAUUCCAGCAAUCGUGCUGCUUUGCUCUUCUUCUAGAUCAGCAAACCAGCCAAGGUUGACCUAUUGUAGCUGCUGGAUCCCCGAAUAAUCUUACGAAGUGACCAGACAAACAAUUCGAGUACGCAAUAAGGGACAGUAAAGACGUAAGGGAGGGGACAGAGAAGAAACUAGCCGCCGACAUGCAUCCGGCUUGUAGUCGAUUUACCUGGGCUGCGCGCGUCGCUGGCAGCUGCUGCUCGUCGCGGGUGCUAGAGCUCGCUGCCGGCGCCGGAUCUCGUCGCAGGCGCGGUGGCGGGCAGGCGGCGGCUGCGGUGUGGGAGAGAUGGAUGACUGGGGGAGGUGGCCAGAGAUAGGGUUUGCUGUCCUCUUUCGAAUAAUAUAUAUAUAAGGCCUAAUGGGCCAAACGGUGACUGGCCCAUAUACUAAAAUGGGCCAUGACGUGUUCAAUCAAAGGAAGAAGUCCAAUUUAGGUCGUUCAACUUUCGCAAAAGUCUAUUUUUCAUCCCUGAACUUCAAAACCGGGUAAAAUACAUCCCUCAAUUUUUGAAACCAUGCAUAUUACGUCCCUGACAUGGUUACGAGCGGUUUUGAAGGCAGUUUUGUCUUUUUCAUUUUUAUUUAUUUUGGCUGAAUAUUUGUAAAAUUAUAGUAAAUCACAUAAAAUUCAUAAAAUAGUAAAUCUGAUUUUGUUGGACUCCAAAUAAGUAGAUCUACAUAAUGAACAUAUAAUAUAGUAUGCUUUAGUACAAAAUUUUUAUUGUAGCUUUAGAACUGUUUUUUCUAUAAUUAAUUAGAAUAAUUCAUAGCUAUAGUUUGUAUGGUCCAAUUGUGGUGAAUUUUUUAUGUUAGACUAAUUAUUAUAUGUUUAAACUAUGGUAAAAAAUUCAUACUCAUUAGAUUAUGUAUAACUUAGUUAUAGAUUUAUUAUAAUUUAACAAGCAUAAACCUAAAUAAAUCUAUAACUAAGGCCUUGUUUAGUUUGCAAAAAUUUUCACCGUCACAUCGAAUAUUUGGUCGCAUGCAUGGAGCUUUAAAUAUAGACGAAAAUAAAAACAAAUUGCACAGUUUAUCUGUAAUUUAUGAAAUGAAUCUUUUAAGCCUAGUUACUCUAUGAUUGGACAAUGUUUGUCAAAUAAAAACGAAAGUGUUACAGUAGCCAAAAACUCAAAUUUUUGCCAACUAAACAAGGCCUAAAUAAUACAUGAUUCAAUGAGUAUAAAAUUUUUACUAUAACUCAAACAUAGAAUAUUAGCUCACCAUAUAAAUUUCAUCACAGUUAGACCAUAGAAAAUGUAGCUAUAAUUAGUCUAAUUAAUUAUAGAAAAACAUAGAUCUAAAGAUACAUCAAAAAAAUUUGUACUAGAACAUACUCUCUCUAUACUAGAAAUACAUGACGUUUAGGACAUGAUUGUGCUUACCAAGGAGUCAUUAAUUAGGGGAUAAUUUUCUGGUUUUGCCCUUAUUAAAUAGAGAUGCGGGUGUAUCCUAGACCGACAUGAAGCAUUCUCUAUUCGAAUGGUUACCGGGGCUGCUUUUCAAGCGCUCGUGGGCGAGGGUGUUGGUUCGAUUCCUGUUGCCUGCGCCUUUUUUUUGAACUUGACGUGAUUUUGCAUAGGAGCCGGCGUCCGUCCGUUAGCAUGCAUAGAAGCCGGCGUCCGUUCGUAUCCGUUAGCAUGCAUGCAUUGGAGCCGGUGGCCGUUCGCGUCCGUUAGCAUUCAUGGGAUCCGGGAAGACUGGGAGACGCCCGGCCUUUCGUGUCCGUUAGCAUGGGAGCGUGAUUAAUAUUCAAUGUGUAGAUCUAAAAGUCCAACAAAAUUGAGUUUUCUAUUUUAUAAUUUUUAUAUGAUUUUUCAAAAAAUUCAGCCAAAAUAAAUAAAAAGAAAAAGGUAAAACCGCUUUCAAAACCAGAUCAAGGAUGUAAUGUGCACGGUUUAAAAGUUGAGAGAUGUAUUUUGUCUGGUUUUAGAAUUCAGGGAUGAAAAUCAGACUUUCGCAAAAGUUGAGGGACCUAAAAUAGACUUUUUCCUCAAUCAAAAGCAAAGAGUCUUCUCAGCUAAGGCUUUGUUUAGUUUUCAAAAUUUUUUAAGAUUCUCCAUCACAUCGAAUCUUGCGGUACAUGUAUGGUGCAUUAAAUAUACAUGAAAACAAAAACAAAUUAUACAGUUCAUCUGUAAAUUACGAGACGAAUCUUUUAAACCUAGUUACUCCAUGAUUGGACAAUGUUUGUCAAAUAAAAACGAAAGUGCUACAGUGUCAAAACCUAAAAAAUUUAACAAACUGAACAAGGCGUAAGUUUAACAACCUCUCUAAAAAAACCUAAGUUUCACAAUACUUUUUCCUCCCUCAACUUCAAAACCAUCUCGGUUAACUUUUUAAACCGUGCAUUUUACCUCCCUACAUAAUUUUAAAGGCGGUUUUGCUAUAAUAAAUUAUAGUUUUUCUACGGUAAAGGUGGUUUUGUCUUUGUCUUUUUCCAUUUAUUUCACCUAAUUUUUUGAAAAUUCACAAUAAAUUACAAAAAAAACAUAAAAUAGAAAAUCUAAUUUUACUGGACUCCACAUGAGUAUAUCUAUACACUGAACAUAUAGUAUAACAUAUAGUAUAGUAUAGUAUGCUUUAAUAAAAAAAUUGCUAUGAUGGUGUUGUCUUUUUUUUAUUUUGGCUAAAUCUUUGAAAAAAUAUAGUAAAUUACAAAAAAUCAUGGGAAAUCCAAUUUUUUUUACUCCACGACAGCAUAUCUACACACUGAAUAUAUAAUAUGGUAUACUUUAGUACAAUUUUUUGUUCUAGCUUUAGAUCUAUGUUUUUGUGUAAUUAAUAAAAAUACUUCAUAGUUGCAGCUUCUAUAACUAUUUUACUGAAAUAAAGCAUACCAUAUUAUAUAUUCACUGUUUAUAUGUACUCAUGUGAAGUCUAACAAAAUUAGAGUUUUAAAUUUAUGAUUUAUCAGUGAUUUACUAUGAUUUUUCAAAUAUUCAACCAAAUAAUUUUUUUUUUAAAAAAGUCAAAACCUUUAUAGGAAAAACUUUAUACUAAAGCAUAUCAUAUUGUAUAUUUACAUUGUAGAUCUAUGCAUGUAGAGUCCAACAAAUUUGGUUUUUCUAUUUUAUGAUUUUUUUAUUAACUAUGUUUUUUCAAAGAUUCAUCUGAAAUAUAAAAAAGAGAAAACCACUGUCAUUGUACCAAAAACAUCAUUCACUGUAGCAAAUUUAUGAAGGAAACUACACCAGGAAGGUAAAAUGCAUGGUUUAAAAAGUUAAGGGAUAUAAUUUGUCCAAUUUUGGAGUUGAGGAAGAAAAACGGACUUUCAUGAAAGUUGAAGGAGAAAAGGUAGACUUUUUCCAUAAAUCAUCUUGUAUUUAGAUGGGCUCAUAUAUAUAGAAGCUAAUGGGCCGAACUUAAUUAAGCAGUGCACAAUUAAAAUAAUCUUGUAUUUAGAUCGAGGAACCUCCUGGUUUUAUAUUAAAAUCAUCUUGUAUUAAAACAAUCUUCCAUUUUUGUACUUAGGUUCCUUCAUGAUUUUUUUUAGGUUUGCGAUUAGGUUCCUUAAUGAUGUUUUGCAUGCCUUUCAAAAAAAAUCUUGAUACUGCAUAUUUAGUUUUUAUGAUAGUACUUCCAUUCGUGUAUUGUGCAAAUUCAGCUUUUGAAUUUAUAAAUGGGAAUGCUACCAACAUGGCACUUUUGAGAGGAUGGAGGUUGGCGAUGGACGACAUGUGCUGGGCUUGGAGAAAAGAAAACAGAUUCUACAAUGGAAUACAUCAACAUCCUUGGUGGUUUCUUCUCUGUUUGGCACUAUUUUAGUUUGGAAAAAAAUACUACAAAGCAUGUUGUAACUUGCAUUCCAUGAAACCUGAAGCUGACAACUAGUUUGUCCCCAUCCUGGCCAUAUGCGCCGUGACCAGUGAUUGUUCAUGAAAUUGGUCAGAUCAAUGCCCUGCUAGCUUUCAUGAUAUUUGUAGGGACUUUGAUGCUUUUUUGAGGGACCUGCUAGCCAUGACCAGAAGAUGGUUGUAGCAAAGUAUAAUAGAUUGAUUUAGAUUUACCAUAUUUUCCGUAUUCAUAAUAAUAGGUUGUUUACCAAGUUUCAUGAAUAAAUGUUUAAUAUGUAUUUUUAGAUGUCGUCGUAGCGUUAGCACGGGUAAUAUACUACUCCCUUUGUCUCUAAAUGUAUGUCGUUUUCGCUUCCCGAGAAACAACUUUGACUAAAUAAGUAAAUAUAUAAAUUAAAAAUAAUAAUAUUUACGAUACACAAUUAGUAUCAUUAGGUAGAUAUUUGAAUCUAGUUUUUUAAUAAAUUUAUUUGAAGAUAGAAAUAUUACACGUACUCUCUCUGUCUCUUUUUAAUUGUCGUCGUUAGUGUAUGUGCCACAAGUUUGACUCAACUUGUUAAAAAUACGUGCAACAUUUGUAUCUUCAAAUAAAUUUAUUAAAAAACUAGAUUCAAAAUUCUUUCUAUAAAUAUUAAUAUUUUUUAGUAUAUGAUUGCCGACAGUUGUUUUUUGGGAAGCGCAAGCGACAAUUAAAAAGGGACGGAGGGAGUAUUUUCUAUAAAUCACUCAAGUCAAAGUUGUCAGCAUUCAAACCGUGGUGACAAAUAUUUAGGAACAAAGGCAGUAGUAUUUCUUUUCUUUUAUUUGAACCUGGGACAGUAAUAUUUCAAGGUCAAUAAAUUGCUUGGAGGCUCCCCACUCCCAAAAAAAAAAGAAAAGGAAAAAACCAGUGUAGAAUUGCCCAACUCGCCGCGUGGCGCAGGCCGCAAACCGGGCACUCGUUUGUCCGUGGAUGCGCGCGGUGUUCCAGUCUCCAGACGCGCCGGGCCGGGCGCCAGACACAGUGGCCCACGAACAGACCUAUACAUGGUACCACGCACGCUACGGCCUGCAUUCUGGCAACAAUGAUAACUGUACCGAACCUUGCCAAAAAAAAAAAAAAUUGCCCAGAGCCCAACAAGAGAUCUGCAUCUUCGACCUUUUUUCUAAAACAAAGUAUAAAAAAAAGGUCGAACGAAUUUUGGAAAAGAAAAACUAGGGCCUAAAAUCGCAUAUAUAUAUAUAUAUAUAUAUAUAUAUAUAUAUAUAUAUAUCAGAUGGAGACAGUAUAUAUUAGCCCCACAGCACCGGAUCACUCAUGGCGGCCUGAUGAAAUGCACCGAUCCAGACAUCUUUUUUUUGUCGGUUAGCAGAGCACGUUCGUUCCAUUCACAUGCUCCCCGGCCCAGCCGGCCGGCCGGGGCCGAGCCUACAGUGUUCCUAUCUACUCGGCUCGUCAUCACAUGCACGACGCGCGCUCGUCACGACACCAAGGACGUACUGCUGGCAUGCGGCAUGCGUUGUCACAGAUCUGGCGCCUCCGAUCUAUCCGAUCCUUUUGCGCUCCAUCGCACGCAACUAAAGCAGGAGUACACGUACGAAAUAACGUACCAACUCCUACCCGGAGGCUAUAUAGUAUAUUCGUAUCACAAGGACAACAAUGAAAAAAAUACAAGGAAACAAACAAUGUUCGUUUGUCUUAUAAAUCGUGUUUUUUAUCAAUCAAUAUUAUUUUCCUCUCAUAAUAAAUUAACAAAUACUAUUGUCAAAGGAGGCUGACAAGAAGAGAGUUCCAAGUGUAGUCGGUCGACUCGAGGAAAAGGAGUGAGAUUCGCGUGGUGGUAGCCUGGUAGGCUAGCUAGGCUGGGCACGCGCACGGCAGCAGGUGGAUGUAUAUGUACGUCGAUCGUCCCGUCCGUCGUUGAGCUUAUCAACUUAAUUAGCUUGUUGCUUAGUAGGAUGGGGCUUCAAGACGCCCGGGUUAGGGCCUUGUUUACUUUCUAAAAAAUUUUGCAAAUUUUUUCAGAUUCCUCGUCACAUCGAAUUUUUAGACACAUGCAUGAAGUACUAAAUAUAGACAAAAAUAAAAACCAAUUGCACAGUUUGGUCGGAAUUGACGAGACAAAUCUUUUGAGCCUAGUUAGUCCAUGAUUGGACAAUAUUUGUCAAAUACAAACGAAAAAGCUACAGUGUCCAUUUUGCAAAAUAUUUUGGAGCUAAACAAGGCUUAGUUCCUUGUUCCAUCCGAUAUUUCCAUCCUGAGCCGUGCCGUGUGUCCGCUCUUACUUGUCAACUAGCUAGUAUGCGGCCGGGAGCAUCAUCUAUCUCCGGCACGGCGAGCGGGUCUUCUAGGUGCGCUAUUCGAUCCUUCCUGCCCGUGCCUACUGCAUCGGACGAUUCUGUUUGCUUUGCUGGAAGGUUGCUGCUGCCGCCCAUAUCAUACUGCCAUGAGUCGAUCCAUCUCCUCCUCUGCGAGCUUUGCUACUUGUGUUGCCACGAAGUGGGCUGCUGGUCCCGGUCCCGGCCUGACCGGAACACGCAGUGCGUGUUAACGAUGCGCCUGUACGGUCCUGUCCAAAUCCCCCACCCGGCCACCCCCACUGUCUCUCUAGUACUAACGAUGCCCCUUUAGGCCUUUAGUUUCUCCAUUUUGCAUUGCAUGGGAAAGGCCGGGCUACACUAGACUCACUUUAAUUUCUGCCCAAGUCACGUCACGUAUAUAUAUAUAUAUGCAUGUGGACUUGUGGAGUAAGCAACCUAAUGCUCACUCACACCACACUGUUAGUCACACAGUCAAUGAUUGGACCAAAAGUAAAGCUCAAUUGUUCCAAGUAGUUGCCCGGCCGGGCGUUUGCUUACCUUGCAAGUACUUGGCGCGGGCGCAACACCAUGCCUGCCUGCCCCGGAGCUGCAGCAAUCACGGCCAAGGCAAAGGCAGGUUUGCCGGCUAAGGUUUUAGUAUCUGUAGCCAUCAUCCCAUGAUUGCAAAGACGGUGUGUGCGCGUGUGAUGCAUGAAAGACGGCAUCCGUGGCCAUGGAUUGCAUUUUGCAUGCACAAACAUACAGUACUCGCUUUUUUUUUCGAUCCUUGACCAUUGGGCGAGGUCGAGGUCAAUCAGUGAAGCAGCAGCAGCAGCAGGAGGAGGAGGAUCGCCCCACGGAAUGACAGAAACUUACGGCGACAGACAUGAUGGUUGAUGGGUCUGGACUCUUCCCAAAGCAAGCAGGAUCUUUCAAUGUUCUAGUACAGUGUUGCUCCUGACCCACCAGGCCACCGCCAUUACGUUGCUAAAACAACAGUACUGCCACUCCAGGUACAGCAAUGGCCUACCGCCAUUACCAGCACCACCAGUCCACUACCACAUGAGGACAUCACAUAUUGGCCAGUAAUAAAGCUGCAAUCUGCUCUGCUGGAAGAGGAGCAGAAAGACCUUGAGCCUUGUUUAGUUCACCUCGAAAUCCAAAAAGUUUUCAAGAUUCUCUGUCACAUUGAAUCUUGUGGCACAUACAUGAAGCAUUAAAUAUAGACGAAAAUAAAAACUAAUCACACAGUUUGACUGUAAAUCGCGAGACAAAUCUUUUGAUCUUAGUUAGUAUAUGAUUGAACAAUAUUUACCACAAACAAACGAAAGUGCUACAGUUCCGAAAACUUUCAGUUUUCGGAACUAAACAAGGCCCAAGAGAAUGGACAUGUGCUACAGAUACAGAGCAAGGACGGCGUCCUGUUCCACAAACAGCAAUUGCCUUGCCUUGCCGACAUUUUAAGUAGGCCUUGUUUAGUUCCAAAAAAUUUUGUAAAAUUUUUCAGAUUUCUAGUCACAUUGAAUCUUUAGACACAUGCAUGAAGUACUAAAUAUAGACAAAAAUAAAAACUAAUUGCACAGUUUGGUCGGAAUUGACGAGACAAAUCUUUUGAGUCUAGUCCAUGAUUGGACAAUAUUUGUCAAAUACAAACGAAAAAGCUACAGUGUCCAUUUUGCAAAAUAUUUUGGAACUCAAUAAGGCCGUACUAUCGACAAAUGAACCUACAAUCUAGGUCAUGUUUAGAUGUGAAAAGUUUUUAGAUUUCUCUACUUUAGCACUUACGUUUGUUUGUGGCAAAUAUUAUCCAAUCAUAAACUAACUAAGAUCAAAAGAUUUGUUUCGCGAUUUACAGGUAAACUAUGCAAUUAGUUUUUUUUAUCUAUAUUUAGUACUUCAUGCAUGUACCGAAAGAUUCGAUGUGACGGAGAACUUAAAAACUUUUUGGUUUUUGGGAUGAACUAAACAAGGCCCUAGUCAUAGUGGUGAGAGGAGAGAAACCUAGUCAACAGCAACGAUUCGAAUCGAUUCUUUACUCAUGCAGCUGAUCACCAAAACAAAAUGGCACAUUUACAAAUUACAUCACUGGACGAAGCUGCUACAUCACUAGACACCCGCUAAUGGAGGAGUCUUGUGUCCUAGUAAGGAGAAAUGCACCAGAAUGAGGAGCAAGGGAAGGAAUGCACAGGCCCUUUCCUUCAAUGGGGCAGGGCGAGCAAAGGUAUACUCACUCAUCACUACUACAUAAAUAAAUAAACAAACAAACAAUGUGCAUGCAUCUCUUCCUCUGCAUACAUCUGUUCCGUCCUGCCUUAUUGAGAUAGAUGAUAAACAACAACUUUGCAGAUGUAGAGCAGUUCAUACUCAAACAACUUUCUGUUCGGCUCACCGAUUAAGUAUCCAUCCAAAACUAAUAAAGAAUGCUGAACAAUUGAACUCAGGCAUCGAUUGAUUGGUCUCGAUCGAUCUUCUCUAGUAUAUUCGUGGCCGAACUGCACAAGGUUGUCGCAGCCUCCGUUUUGCCCAAUAUUGCAGUCAUGAGGCUGAGCUACCACCACCAUGGAACAAAAGAAAUGCAAAGAUUUUUUUUCUCUCCCCGUGUUUCUAUCUACAGAGGAAAAAAUGAAAAAAAAUAUGGGCACACAUCUGCAAAAUUACUUCUUCGACAACACACUGAUGGGGAACUCCACAUGCUGACCUCCUAGUUGCAAUCCAAACCGCAUUCCUCCAACAGGGGACCAUCAUCCUUCGCAAGGAAAGGAUCUAUCCGGACCCAGAGCAGCGAGAAGAUUGAAGCCAAGAGGAUGGACCAGACAAUGACAAUUGUUGGCGUUCUGUUCUGCCUCCCAACCAGACCCUUGAGGAAUGGGUAAAGAUGGACAAUCACCCAAAAUGCAAAGAAGAGCUUCCCGAACAGGGGCCCCCAUGAUUCAUAUCCAUUGUUGAUUGCAUUGGAAACGCCAGCUACUACUCCAAUGAAAUUCAGUAGAAGCAGGGUGGUCGGAGGUAUCAGAAGGGUUGUCCAUUUGAAUGUGUACAGCUCUGAGAACUCCUCGUCGUCUCCACCCUUGGAUGUCACAGUGAAGCUCGUGUCUACACCAGCUAUGACCUUGAGGAGUCCUUGGAACACAGCAAAGAGAUGUGAAGACACACCGCCAAUGACCCAAAACUGCUCAUUUCUCCACCAAUCAUCGAUGCCUACACCACUCCAUCUCAUUUCCAGGAUGCUCGUAGCAAAAAUGCAGAUAAAAAGUGACAUGAACCAGAGGCUGGCAACAUUGUUAAGCUGCACGAUAGGAGAAUGAUAGUAAUCGUAAGGUGUCAUAAUCUUCCACAAGUUCAACACCAUAAUACAAUAGAAUUAGAGACUGAAAAAAUGGUACCUCUGGCGUGAUAAAUUGCCCUGUCAGCAAGCAGAUGGCAGGCAAUGUGCAAUAGGCCAAGAGCGGGAUAGAUGUCCAAGGGUAUACGAUGGAGUUAAUGUAUGAAAACCUUUCCAGGCACUUUAAUCCACCACCAUACCCAUACCAAAGAGGGCAGUGGUUGCUGAAGAAAAUUUCAAUUGAACCAAGAGCCCACCGAAGAACCUGGUGAAGACGAUCGGAAAGAUUGAGAGGUGCAGAACCUUUGAAAGCGGCCCGUUUAGGUAUGCAGUAAAUUGACCGCCAACCAUGGCAGUGCAUCUUAAACCCAGUAAGAAUAUCUUCUGUAACUGAUCCAUAAAUCCAACCAAUCUGUAACGAAACAUAUGAUUCAGUAUGUGAUACUUAUUCUGACCAAUACAACCAACAAACAGAAACAACAAACAUGCUGCACACUUACAUCUUUUCCCCAAUCUGUCUUGUCUUCAUAGCCGCAACUGAUGACAUGUAUAGCUUCCUUCAGAAGAGAAGCUGGACUGGCACUCUUCAGGGUUCCACCAUUCUCAAGAAGUGUGGAUGCAACAAAAACUGAAGACUGGCCAAAUUUCUUUUCCAACUUUUGUUGAUUUACAAUACUAGCCUUUUCAUUUUCAGCUCCUACGGGAAACAUUGCAAGGUUAGGCAUUAAGGAUGCUUGUAGUACGGGGAAAAACAGAGAAGGUUUCCUAUUGGAGGUUACGUGGUACCUGGAGCAGCUUCAUCAAUUUCACCAAGAGCAUACGCAGGGGCUUGGUUUUCCUUUUUCUUAAAAAGUUUCUUUAUCUUCUCAAAUUUAGGUUUAGAGGUCUUAGUCUUCUUCUUGGUCUUCCUGUUACCAAAACAGCAACAGCAAAUGCACCACUUUGGCCAGCAGUUGCAAGUCCUUGAUGGUGGCUUCUUUGUUUUGGGUGCGUCAUAGCCAUAUAAUGCCUGCCUCCUGAAGACACAUCCUGUACCAACGUAAAUGGGGCCUUGGAUACCAUCCAAACCUUUCAUGUUGAUCUGCAUGAAUGAAACAUUAGGGAAAUUGCAUUUAAGUUCAUUCUCUCAUGUUAGACGAGAGAGCUUAUUAGAAAUUUUGAUGACAGAUCUUACAUCGAAAAAGACAACAUUUCUGUUAGCAUAUCGAUCAUGACGAUCAAUCCCAUCGAAUCUUUGAGGAAACUGCACAUAGCAAACUUUCUUUCCAAGCAAAGGAUCCAUCAUAAAACACAUUGCUUCCUUUAUAGCCUUACUAUUAUUGAUGUAGUGAUCACAAUCCAAGUUCAGCAAAUAAGGUGCAUUAGUUAGUACAGCAGAGACUCGGACCUGUGGAAGAGCCAAAAACAGGAACAAGAAACUCAUGUUAUGCAUAUACAGGCCAUAGUGACAGAAAAUGCAUCAACCAAAGCAUACUUACCAAUGCAUUCAUAGCACCAGCCUUCUUAUGAUGGUCAUAGCCUGGCCGUUUUUCUCUUGAAACGUAAACCAAUCGAGGCAGCUCAUUUCCUUCCACGUCAUGGCCACCACUUUGACCAAGAAAAACCUAUUGGUAGAGAAAUUUGAAAUAUUUUUAUGUGGCACGGUGAAGGGGAAAAAACAUAAAACAUCCCACCACAUGCACUGUUAAUUCAUAAUUGUCAAACCAUACCUGAAUCAUUCCAGGAUGAUCACGAACAUUGUUUCCAGGCCAUGGUGUCCCAUCCUGCAUUGUCCAUCCUUCCUCAGGUACCUUUUGGGCUUUAGCAACCAAGGCAUUGAUUCUAACCUUGAAUUCCUCGUACUCUCUCUGGAAAAAUAAUAAGAUGCACUAAAUUAGCAUAAGACUUGCCACAUAAAGGACUGUAGCAAGGGAUAACAAAAAAGUACAAAUAAUGCACCUUCAUUGCUCUCCGUUCUCUAACGAAGUUUGGCGCCACCUUGUCUUUCAGGUAGUCUAUCUUCUGUUGGAAAUACCACUCUGGAGCACGAGGCUCAAGGCUAUACCUUUUGCAGAAAGGAACCCAUUUCUUUGCAAAUUCAGAUGUUUCAGACAAUGCUUCAAAUGUCAGCAUGGCAGCACCAUCAUCAGAAACAUAGCAUGAAACCUUAUCAACUGGAUAAUCCACCGAAAGGAUAGAUAGAACAGUAUUUGCUGUGACUAAUGGAGGUUCCUUCAAGGGAUCAACCGUACUGACAAAGAAAUCAAUAGGGGCGAGUUGAGAAGGCUGCCCUUCCUUGUCAAACCUAUCGAGACAAGAAAUCCACAACAAUAAAAAAAUCAGCAAAGAUGAGAGGAGGCAAGUAAUAUCAGGUGACAGCAGGAAGCAAGUAACCAACCUCAAAGUCAGCCGGUCAAGAUAGGUUUCCCUCUCGAUAGGAAACCACUUUGGAAACUGAUCAAGAAUCCAAGACAUGGCAAACCAAAUUUCACAGAUCACAGAUAUGAGCCAUAAAGCAAAUGCAUCAGGCACCGGAUGCAUCACUCGGUAGUGGAAGAAGAACCCCAAAACCACUAGCCGAAUUAUGAUAAUCAUCCUAUAGGGGUUGAUUUGGCUUGAAGGAAGCGGAAUCUUUCUGGACAAUGGCUGUCUAGCUUCAUCCAUUCUGGCAAGAAAAAAAAAACAAGAAACAUUUGGUGUUUGAGUCCAGUAAAAAAUUUUGCAUAGAGAUGAACAAAAUAUCUAACUAAGAAAAUAGCAUAUGGACAGUUUUUCCAUCAAGUCAGAGAUACAAGUACACAGAAAGCAAAACAAAUUCAACUGUUUUCUUCAAAUUCUUCCGAAGUCCUUUUUUUAAGUCUUCACUGAGUACAGUUAUAGCACCUGUUCAAAGAAUUCUUACUAGCAAGUUGAUAGGUUACUUAUAUUUUUCGUGGUAACUGGGCCAGGUUAUAAAAUUUCAAAGUUGACCAAUCCACUGUAGUACAAAAUAGCAUGACAGCUAGGAGCCAGCUAAUAUAGAAGUCAGCCAAGUUUCAGGGCCAUACAGUGGUAGAUCUGCAUCAUCGCCAUCAUCGUUACCACCACCGUCGUUCCUCGCCUGGUGCAUCCUCUCCUGCUUCUGCUUCCAGCUCUCCAUCCUCUCCUUCCACGCUACACUGCCGUAGCCAUAUGCGGCGAGAUCCUUGGAAGGGUCCAUAGACCUUGGUUGCACUGCAGGUCGCGCAAGCCGUUAAUUGAUUGAUAGUACUGUAUUGUAGUAUUCAGGAGGUAACCAUGGCAGCUGGACGGUAGCUGAUGACGUUCAGAACACGCACCAGGAAGGUUGGGAUCCGCGUACGGAAGAGGGUGAAUCCUCUUCCCACCACCACCCAUGAACGAGGGCACAAGUGCGUGCUGCUCCGGCGGGAUGUCAUCGACCUGGAAGCAGAAGAAGCAAGCAAUUCAAUUCAGCACUUGAAGUCCGUGGAGGAGGAGGGGGAGCAGGGGGAGCAAUGCAAUUGCAAGCGGCGUGGGUGGGUUUUGCGGUACCAUCUGUCCGUUGGUGAGGAGAGGAACAUUAGGGAUGGGCUGGAAUGGUUGCGGCACGCCGUCGAGGUCGGCGCCGCGGCCGUAGCUCAUGUGGGCGUGGAGCAUGGACUCGGCGACGUACUGGGAGUCGUGCUUGUCGCUCCAGUUGAACUCGUUCUCCAGGUCGUCGACGCCGUCCUCCUCCUCGUCCCCGGGCACGCGCGCGCACCCUGCAAACAAACACAAAGAGUCAGGACUGCUGAGGACGCGAGCGGCGGCGGGGGAGACGGGACGGGAGGCCGAGAAUUGCGAAUGCGGGAGGUGGGAAGGGGGGGACUUGCCCUUGAGGCGCUUGAAGCGGGUCUUGCACUGGGGGCAGUUCUGCGUGCCCUCGCGUCGCUCGUACUCGUAGCAGUCCCGGCAGAUGGGGAAGGCGCACUCGUUGCAGGCCACGAAGGGCUCCCCGUCCGGGUUGCGCCCCACGUCGUCGCCGCAAAUCUGGCACACCUGGCCGUUCCGCUGGUCCAUCGGCUUCGGCUGCAACGAAGGAAGCAAAGCAAGCAGAGGGAAUCAGCGGCGGGGAACGAGGAACGGCGGGAGGGAGGAGGAACCGAGCAGAGCGAGGCGAGGUGCGGCAGAAGGGUGGACGUACCCCUGGCUCGCCAUCGCGGCGGAUGACGACGAGCUCGUUCCGGUUGUGCGAGCCGGCGACCAGCCCGGCGCUGGCCUCCAUCCCCCUCGCCCUACCAGAUCUCCAGAUCUCGGGGCGGGCCGCGGGCGCGUGCGGCGGCGGCGGCGGCGGCGGGUGCUUGGGGGAAGGGAAUGGAACGGGAGUGAAGCGAAGAGGGAGGGCUUGUGCUAGCUUGUUGUGCUCCGGCUGGGGGGGCUUUUUCCUUUGUUGCGUUGCGCGCGGCGCGCUUCGCUGCCCGUGUCCCCUCCCGUUCCCGUGUGGGGCUUUUGGCUCUUCCUUCUCGGUGGACUGGUGGGUGGGGGUGGGGCUGGCUGGCUGGCGCCUGGGAGGAGAGGACGGACGGAGGAGGGAGGCCGAAGGGGCAAGCAACAAAAUGCGACGCGCUAGGCGCUACUGCUACUGCUUGCCCUCCCACGCACAGCUCAUCGGCACCACCACCGUGUCUCCCUCCCUCACAUGCGCACGCCCGCCGCUGUCCCUCUCGCUUCCCUCUGGUUUUGUUUUGGUGCUACUCGCCUCGUCUGGCCUGGACGCUAGUAGUGCCUGCUGGUGCUGGUGCCGGUGCUGGUAAUGGACUGUGGACUACCACCACCACCACCACGCACCCCUCUCUUUCUACGAUUCUCGCUUCCCUCGAGCUCGAUCAACCAUGGGCCAUGGCGUGGUACCGUGCCCGUUAAUACCUUGCUUGCGAGCUGUGAGCCGUGACCACGGCUCAACCACCACCUCUUUCUUCUCUUGCCUUCUAGGAGCGUGCCAAAUCAGAUGAGCCUAGCUUAGAUAUCGGUGGUACGUGUUUUAUUAUUAUUAUAAAAAAGUUAGAGUAAAAUGAUUAGAGGAGAGAGGUGUGUGAGUGUCGGUGACACGACCGGACGACUGUUGACUCUACUGUCUCUACAGAUACGGUGAACGGUGUCUGUCUGCGGUCUGCCUGCCUGUGGUUAGUUAGGAUGUCUGCUUAGCAAAGUUUGUUUUUUUUUGGCCUUGUUUAGUUCCCGAACAAUUUUACAAAUUUUUUCAGAUUUCUCGUCACAUCAAAUCUUUAGAUACAUGUAUUAAAUAUUAAAUAUAGACAAAAAUAAAAACUAAUUGCACAGUUUGGUCGAAAUUGACGAGACGAAUCUUUUGAGCCUAGGUAGUCCAUGAUUGGACAAUAUUUGUUAAAUACAAACGAAAGAGCUACAGUGUCGAUUUUGCAAAAUAUUUUGGAACUAAACAAGGCCUUGAUGGAACUUAGCAAAGUUUGUUACGGCCUGCCUGACAGAGCACAAAACGGUCUUUUUGUUCAUUCUCAUCCACUCACACUGGAGUACUACAUCACUAUACAGACUUUCCACUUAAUUAUUUUAUUUAUUUACAUAUUAUUAAGAAAAGCUUCAAAAAUGGAGUGCGGAGGAAAAGGAGUAUCGUGUACGUCUAGUCCAGGUAUGUAUAUUUUUCUUUGUCUGGAAACAAAAAAUGCAGUGUGCCAACGGGACGAAAGGUACGCGCUAACUAACGAGCAGGAAAACAAACAAAACAAAUAAAAUAAAAACAAUUCAGGCAGGGGCAGCAGGCUAAAGGAACAUAAAGUCGGUAGGUGAGGUGUUAUUAGCAGCCCAGCAGCGCGUGUUUACUCAUUUGUUUCUUGGCCCCCUUUCUCCCCCAAAACCUUUUUCCCUCCCUUUAUCCAUCCAUCUUCUUCUUUCUUUUUUGUGUCGUGUGUGGCACAAGAAUGGAGACGAGAGGAGGAGCGUGAUCAUGCCAUCUUUCCCCCUAAUCUUUUUCCCUAAUUUAGCGGCAGACAAUGAAAUAAUUAUGAUGAGGGUUUGUUAGUUUAUUAUUAAAUUAGGAUUAGGAUAGGACAUGGGGGCCCCGGCAGGUGUCGCUGUCCGUGGGCCCGUACCACGGAGAGAGAGUGGAUUAAUUAGGCCCUGUUUAGUUCUCCACCAAAAUUUUUUUCAUCCAUCCCAUCGAAUCUUUAAACACAUGCAUGACACAUUAAAUGUAGACAAAAAAAUAAACUAAUUACACAGUUUGGUUGAAAAUCGCGAGACGAAUCUUUUAAGCCUAGUUAGUAUAUGAUUAGUCUUAAGUGCUACAGUAACCUACAUGUGCUAAUGACAGAUUAAUUAUGCUUAAUAGAUUUGUCUUGCAGUUUCCUGACGAGCUAUGUAAUUUGUUUUUUUAUUAGUUUUCAAAAACCCCUUCCGACAUCCUUCCGACAUAUUCGAUGUGACACCCAAAAAUUUUUCAUCUCUAAUCUAAACAGGCCCUUAUUGCACGACGAUGGCGUCCGACCAACCCGGUUAGUUUUCUUCGAUUCAUGCCUCCAUCUCCAUGUGUGCUGCUCUCUCUGGGUCUGGGUGCAGUCCUUUGAGAGGCCCACCUGGCAGUGAUGAAUUUCUUGUGCAGGCUUAAGUGACGAGCCGUCUCUGGGUCUGGGUGCCGUUAUAGAAGGUUGGAGAAAGUAGAUGACGUGUCGUGUCAUUAGCAAAUGCAGGUAGCUAGCGGGCUAACAUUAGCGGCUGCCUGCAGAACAAUGAACAAUUCCAGUCCAUAGCUACCCCCUUUGGCUGCAACUGCAAGAUCUUCUUGUAGCUAACCUAGCUAGCUCUCCCUGAUAGUGAUAAUGAUAUAGUACUAGUCGUAUUACUAGUAGUACGUAUAUUGAAAGAAGUCGCGGCCCAGUGGCUGGACGAAGGAGACAUGGCCGAUUCGAACGCAUUCACUCGUCCCCGUUUGUCGUUACACCCAUGUGACGCCAUUAGUCCCGCAUUGAAAGCCAUUAGCGACCCCAGGUCCGUAAAACACUUCGUUUCGUUUCUGCCACUCCUCCCGUUGACCGAGUCGGUCGAGGCGGCAGAGCCAACGCCGGACGACCGGACUGGAGUCCGGCCCUUAGCAGCCGGUACGGGAACAUAGGCACGUUCCCCGUUCCGAGAACUUCGUUUCGAAACGUGGAACGCGAACAUCAUGAAACAUCGUUCUCAAAUACGGUGGAACACGAAUUAUAUAUAGGAGCAAUCAUAGGAACGUCAGUCUCUAGCGACUAUAGAACUUCGUGGUUUGUGUGCAUACUGCGUCGUGCCCGUCCGUGAGCGGUCGGCAAAAAAUCUAGAUGGUGAUUGACUCAUUGGCCUAGACCUGCAAUGAGCCUUAAGGUUGGAGUUGGACAGCCCUAAAUGAAACAAAAAUACAAUAGUAAACUAUAUCACGCUAGGAAUCAAACUUAUUUGGUUCAAAACAACACGUAAAACUACCUGAGCCAACCACUACGUCCCAAACACGUUCCUUUAGAAAGUGGAACGUGUUCCGCAACUUAAAGGAACGAGACGAAGCUAUAUACCCCCUAUAUUCUAUAGUUUAUGAGAAUAUCGUACUGCGUAUCAUGUUCCCGUACCACGCUGCUAAGGUCCGGCCACUGUGCUACGGCCGGGGGCGUUGAAGAGGCGAGAGCCGCCGGCCGGCAGGGGCACAGGGGGCCAGCUAGCGGUCUAGUGACGAACGGACGUGCAUGCGGUGUCGCCCGGUGGUGCUGCCACGACGGCGAACCCGAACCCCGGUGCGCGUACGUACGUGCAGUGCAGGGUAAAUCCCAACCACCAGCGCAGGCACGCGCGCAACGAAGCGUUCGUCGUGCCGUGUGCAUGUCUCCUGUUGUCUCUCGCGCCAUUUCACCAUCACAAUUCACACCCUCGCUUUCUCGCGCUGGCUGAGUCAUCGAGUGGCCUGCUGGACUCACAGGCGGCAUGCACUACACGGUGCUGCCGACACUGGCGCUCGCCAGGGGGACGUUCUGAUGGCCAUCAUCUGCAGCAUAAAUGAGUUGAUUGGAUUUCUUAUGGUGUAUUUUUCUAAAUUUUUUCAAGAUUUAAUGGAGCUACAUUUUUAGUAGUAAACGACAUGCCACGUGCUGUACCCCUCCAGGCCUCCACACUCCAGCGAGGAGGUUGACGACGACGAGCAAGUGGGGUGGUGGCCAUUGGCCUCUCUCUCUCUCUCUCCGUGUCUCCGGCUAGAUCUCCGCACUGGAUGCUGUCCUACUGCUGUUAGCAUGUUUUGUUACACUUUUGUCGUGGCGCGGGAGCCUGAGCGCGGAGCACGGGGAUCCAAUUACGACGGAGGUGAGGUGACGACGACAUCAUCCGCCAUCGCCGGAUUCCUCUUCUUCCUCCAAUCCUCCCCCACGCGGAACGCGUUCCCUGGACUGGAGGAGCGACGGGACGAUCCGAGUCACGAGUCCACGGAAUGGAAGCAACAAGCAACAGACUAAUGACAUCAUUUCUUUACUUGUGGUACGUCGAUCGAAUCCUUGCUUCCUUCAUCAACGCGUACUGUGUACUGUUCCAGCAGCUGGAGCUAGCUAGCUAGGAUGAGCGCCGUGUAUGAUGAUGAACAUUGAAAAAACCAUCAUCCUCCCCCAGUUCCAGCUAGAUUGAUCUCAUCUGAUCCGACCUGAUCCUCCGUUCGUGUAGAGACUGGGCCCCACGCCGAGAUUUUUUUGUAUAAAAAAACUAAUUGACUCCAUUAUCUACUGGCUUGCUUCUCUCUCUCAAGCAUCAGGAUAUAUAUGUCGCUUGAUGCUACAUUAGGAUUAUUUUGUCUAUAUAUAUAGGAUUUGCUAGAGUAAAUAAAUAAAAUUAUAAAAAACAAAGACGCAUGAGUCGCAUGGAGCAUUCUGCCACCGUGUUACUUUUUAUACAUGUGGUGUAUAUACCUGCGUGCAUGACCUCACUUAUACAGUAAUCAAGCCCUGUUCUUGAUCCGAAAAUCUCUCGCCAAGAAAGUCAAUUUGGCUGUCCAAAGGCGGCGGCUUCAUCCAGCUCUGCCACUGGAAGAAGCUAGCACAGCCGAGCAUGCCCAAAAAGAACUAAAAUAGAAUCAACAUUCUAAGUACAUCUGUCCCCAAGAUCAGCUAACGCAUGAGUUACUUUGUCACUUUCUCAUGGUUUGUAUUUCACCGUGUAAGCUACAAACUCCGAUGCUAACAACAUUUUUCCUUUCCAAACCAGACCGCCUGAACCAGAUAGAUCAAAUGUUGUGAAGUCAGGGACUCUUUAAUUUCACCAUCAGCACUGGAUGGUUUUGCUAUAUAUCUUGAUAUAUAUGGUAUGUCUACAUUCGUAGCUUUUACUAGAUAUAUAGUAUAUCUAAAAAAUUCAAAACAACUUAUAUUUUGGAAUGGGUGGAGUCACAUUAAUAAAACAAACAAAUUCACCGUGAAAUAUAUUUUCCCUCACGAGCUUAAUAUAUAAAACAUAGAUGGUCAACAAAAUGGAAGAUGAAGCUUAAUAUAUCUAGAGCUCAUCUGGUAGACUCUGGCGAGGAACACAAAAAUCCUCUACUACAUAAUUCAGGGAUCCAGACAAGGAAAAAAAGUUUCUAACAUUCUACUACCUAAUUCCAUAAACCAAAAAAAAAAUCAAUUCUAGCAAAGGAAUGAAAAUUAGUUUCUCUCUUCCGUACGUACCAUCCGGUUCGAUGGAAUGGAACAAAAUGAUUCCCUCUCUCUUAUAGCAAUCUGAAGCUUCACUUCCAUUUGACAUUUUCUUGCGUUCUUUCUGCAAUAUUCCUCUUGUAUUCCUCGUCACCUUCUCGUCUUCAUCUUUGCAGGAAAAGAAAAGUAAGAACAGGAAAACAUAAAUGAGUUCAAAUUGGCAAACAGAUCCUUUCAGACUACAACGUCUGCAUGACUAUUAUAUCUGGUCUAAGUACAUUCUUAGCGGCCAGGGGCAAAACAGAACAUGUUGAAAGCUGAAAUGUGCAUGAUCAAAACAAUGAAGCUAUAUAUAUGUACGUACCUGCGGACUUCAGAACAAGUGCGCAUAAAAAGAAUAUGGCUCCUUGGUGUAGUCCAUAUAGCCCUUUAACCCAUCUUCUGGUGCUUCCAUGGCAAACACCUUCAUGCGCUGGACAUGCUGGACCUUCCCCCAUUCAGGGGUGUCAUACUGCAAUGAUAUCAGCUUGAACAGGCUGGGCCUGCAAUGUACAUUCAAUUUGCUUAGCUCUGCCUCUUGCAAGUAUGUUGGCAGCGUCUCAGUGCACAAAUCCAUCCACGCAGCUGUUCUGAGUGACGGCAGAUUCUCUAGUAGCUUCAGCAUUGGGCAACUGCAGAUGGUGAUCUUGUGCAGCCUUGGGCAGCUGCUGACACUCUCUAGCAUUGGGUUGUCCCAUAACUUGAGCUCAGUGAGGGAAGGGAAGCUCUCUACGGUGACCAGGUUCAGCACAUUUCUUAGGUCCAAGAGCGUCAGCUGAGUUGCAUGGCGUGAGAGUCCAGGAGGAAGACGAUGCAGUUUGCAGCCAUCGAUCGUAAGCCCCUCCAGAGCAGGCAUUGCCGGUAUCUGCUGCUCCCAGUCCCACUCUGUCCAUCCUGACAUGCCCUCGAAACCCAGUGCAGUCAGCUUGGGAAAUGCAAAGCCAGUACCACGAGAGAUAAGACUAGCAGGCAACUGCCUACUCAUGAUCAAGUCUGUCACUACUCCUGCUGCUGCAUUGUCCUGGCCAUCGAUUGAGGGAGUGAGGACGAAACCAUGCCCAAUACAUUGGAUGGCCGGAGCUUGAUCGACCCAGAGGUAGUCCAAGAAGGGGAGCUGGCCCAGUCCAUAUGGCAGCUCGUCGCAACACAAGUAGCCCUCCAGGACCAACCGCCUUAAGCCACGGAAUAAGGCUGGCAUCAUCCAGGCCCACUGUGGUAAGCCCAACCCAUAGUAACCUUUGAUGACAAGUUCUUCUAUGCAGGUAGGAGGACAUAGGUUACCCAACACUUGCUCAGCUCGGUCUUGCUCCUCCCUGCUGAUGUUGCCUCGUUUGAGCUCUCCGUUGUCUCCGAGCUGACUUGCAAAUCUCAUGUUCAGCUCUUCUAGGUGCUCUUUGUUGCAAAGCUUUGCUCUAGCAGCCACUGAACCUGAAGGUGCCUUCUCCAAACCUAUUAUAUCUAGGAAUCUGAGCUUUGUCAGAGGCCCUAACUCUUCCAAGCUACACCAACCUUCUGCGCCAUCAUCCGAAUGGGUUGGAAAGCCCGCCAUUAUGACCAGAUCUCUCAGCUUUCCAAAACCACGAGGAACUGAGCUUAUCUUGGUGCCUCUAAUGUGGAGUAGCCUUAGCUUCCGUAGCUUCAAGAUGCUAUCAGGAAGCCGUGAGAUGUUGCUACACAUCACAAACUCAAUGCCUUGCAAAAACUGAAGAUCUCCUAUGACUUCAGGGAUCGUGGAAAUGCUUGUAGCGCGAAGGCUCAAGCGUCUCAAAUGUUUGAGGUGGCUUAUGGAGUCUGGCAGCUCAUCAAGAUUUACAUUAUCUAGAUACAAUACUCUUAGGCAUGAUGAAAGGUUGCUCCAUAACUCCUUUGAAUUAACCACAGUGCUUCCGAAUAACAUCAGUGUUCUAAGGGAUACCUGUUUUCGCAGAAUGCCGGGCUCUACCACCUUGUUUGAAAUAGAUAGGCGACGGAUCUUUGGAGCAGCAGCAAGAGCGAUAUUGGCAUCCUGGCCCUCACCAACAAGGACCCCUUCAUGUUUUGUUAUGUACUGGGCAAAGGAGCGGAUGACAUCAUGCAUGGUGCAUGCUGACUGACCGUAGGCCCCUUUCUUCGGUUCUAAGAGGUUCCUUGAGACCAACUCUCUGUAGUGCUUUAGCCCCACAUCUUCAAAUAGCUCUGAUGACGCUGUCGUUUUGUUGUUCACGUAUUCUUCUGAGAUCCAGAGAUUGACUAUAUCUUCGCGUCUGAUCGGUUCAUUUGUAGGGAAAAGUGAGCAGUAUACAAAGCAUUGUUUCAAGUCUGGAGGCAAGUCCGCAUAACUCAAGUAGACAGCCUUGUUGAUAUCAUCGUCGAUUCCUGAUAUCGACCAUGCGAAGUGGUCACGGACAUGCUCCCAAGCAUCUCUUGUUUUUCUGAUGUGGAACAAGUGCCCUCCAAGCACCUUAAUUGCCAGCGGCAAUCCCUGGCAUUUUUCCACAAUCAUCAUCCCAACAUCCUUUAAUAAUCCAUCAACCUCAACUUCAUCAAUUUCAUCAGACACUACCUGUCAUAAAAAUGUGUCAUGUUAGAGGAUGCAACAGAGGAGAGUGCCUAGGAAUAUAAAGAGUUUUUAGUUUGUCCCAAAUUAAACUAUUUUAAGUUUAACCAAACCUUUCAAAGAAUAAUACUUUUUACAGUACCAAAUGAGUAUAAGUACAUCUACAAAGAAAUUUUAUAUUGGAUGUCAAAAUAAUAAAUACUAUAUUGGCCGGUUCACGCCACAAAGACCAAAAUUUGGUAGAUAUCAUUAUAAAAUUACAGUUAAUUGUGAGACAUGAUAAAAAUAUUUUAUUCACUUUUUAAAUCCAUGGAGAGAAAAAUGGUAGUAAAUGUUAUUUUUUUGCCCUAUGAGAAAAACAAACCCAACUUUCCAACGGUGCCUUAUAUCUGUUCAGGUUCACAAAGCCGUUCUUCAGCUUCUCCUACCAAACAACUAUUUUGUAACAACUUCUCCCUAGAAGUCACCAAAACCAUACUCCCACAUGCUCAUGAACGCUGGUGAAGCUAAAUAUACUAGCUUCUCCUAGCUCCCUCUCUGCUAUCUUUCAUGAGAAACUGUUUUACCAAACAUUUUUCAAAAACAGCUUCAACUUCAAGUGAAGCUGCUCAUAGAACCGAAGAAAAAAAUUAUUUCAGUAGUGAAACUGAGUUAUACCAAACAGCUCUUCUUAAUCUCAAAUCACUACAAUAUACGAUAGUGCAACUGAAUUUAUUUUUUAUAGGAAAAAUAAAUAGGUAAAAAUUACUGACCUGCUUUUUUAGUAGGACCCAAGCAUCAUCGCCUUCUAGCUUGCCAACUCGGUGGAGAUGGCGCGCAUUCAUUUUGCGAGCGACGACUUCAUUUCUAGUGGUCACCAACACUCGACUCCCCGGUGCAGCAGCGUCUGCAAGCGGUGCUCUAAGAAGGCCACUCCACACGUCCUCGCUCCACACAUCAUCCAUCACCACUAGCAGCUUUUUUCGCCGCGCCGCCUGCUUCAGAGCACAUUCCAGCAGGGCCCUGCUGUCACUCGCGGCGCUGCCACCACCGCCAUAGCUGCCGCCAUGAAGUGCGGCAACGACGUUCCGUAGGACACUAAGAUGGUCAACUCCCUUGUUGAUGCUCAGCCAUAUCCGCUCAUCAAAGCUCUGCUCCACCUUGCCGUCGUUGAACACCAUCCUGGCAAGGGUGGUCUUGCCGAUGCCGCCGGCACCUGUGAUAACAGCGGAGACAGUGACAUUGCCGCUGCUGGUUCUGUGGGCAUCAGUGUCCACCUCCUGCAGAAGCAGGGCGAUGAGGUCCCGCGCGUCUUUCUCGACCUUGUCGCCCACGACACCAGAUCGGACGAUGCUGUCCGACGAGCCCAACAAAGAGCUUGCAGCAGCUCUGUUGGUGGAGUGAAGAAUGGAAGAGUGGAGCUCCCGGACGAUGAACCCAAAGCGGGAGCUCCUAUCCGCGAUGUCGCGCAGCCGUUUGUUGAGCGCCUUGAUCUUCCUCCCGAUCUCAUGUGCGGCGACGGGGCUGUGGAAGCAAAAGAUGUUGAAGCACCUUGAAGAAGCAGUUCUGCUUGGAGCUGCUAUGGGAUCCUCCUCUCCACCACCAGGACCCUCCAUGAUCUGGCAGAGGUCGAGGAUGUCGUCGACGUCGUACAUGGCAUCCUUGAGCUCCCUGACCCACCUCUCCACAGCAUUGCUUCGGAUGCGUGCCAUCUCAGCAUCCUCCAUUAUGGCACUCAGGUCGCCGAGCAUCGUUUCGAGCUUGGUGAUCUCGCCAGGGAUGCCGAGGAGCAUCUCCACCUCCUCCUUCGCUAUGCCCAUCAGGAUGCCGGCCAGCUUGGCCGCGAAUGCACCCAGCACCACCGCCAUGGUCAGGAGGAAGUGGUAGCUUGUUACCUAGCUAGCAGCAGCGAAACAAGAGGAGGAACAGGUUUGUGCUCCAGCUCCAGCUCCAGCUGACCAGCUCCACUCUCUGCUGACUUGGGAGGGAGACGACGUUCUAUAUACAAGCAAGAGUGGACUGCUGGAUGCAAGAUUACAAUACGGACACAUACAUGAGACCGUGAGAGUGAUGUUCAACGCAUAGGGCCACGCAACAGCCAUGUUUAUCGGCCUGUAGUCAGAACGUAAAGAUCGAGGAAGUCUUUCUACUCAUCACCCCGGAAGGGCGGAAGAGCACGUGGACUGCCAGUGCUCUCCUCUCUAGCGAUGUCAACGGGAAAUUUCCCGUAAGGGAACACCACCCCAUCCCCGUCCCCGAGGAUUCUAUACGGGUCCCCGUCCCCGACGAAGGCAUGGGGUAUGCUCAACUGAAGGAGGAAGCCGGCGGCCAAAGAAAAACGAAUAUAUAAAAAAAAAAACUAGAUCGGAGGUUGUAGCGGGACCACAGGAGUAUCACCUUCUCUGUGUAGGGAAUCAGCUCGCCGGAAGCUCAUUGGCUCGGUGGCGUUGAGGAUCCCCGAGCACCCACCGGCGGGCGGCGGCCGACCAAUCCUGCAUCUGCAUCCAACUGGCGGACGUCGGUGCUUGGAUGGGAGAUAGUGUAGGGGCGGGCGACGGCAGUUGGGUCAUGGGUGAGAGAUGGGAGGGUCGGCGGCCGGCGGUCGCGCUUGAGCAGCCGGGAUCUGGCAGAGGGUGGCGCUUGGGAACGGGACUGCGAAGUGACGGAGAGAUGACCAGUGGAGAUUUUUUAGAUGAGACGGAAUGGACGGAUGGAUGGAGUUCUACCUCAAAUUCACGGUCUCAAAUUGACGGUUAGAUACAUCGAUGAACUUCUUCUCUCUAGUUCCUUUCUAUUUUCUCGAACCAUACAUGAGAUGGAAUGAUACUUAAUUAGCUGGGUAAAUUUGACCCGUCUCCUAGGGAAAUUUCUUAGGAUAAGGUCUUGUUUAGUUCCAAAUUUUUUUGCAAAAUAGGAAUAGUAACACUUUCGUUUGUAUUUGACAAAUAUUGUCCAAUCAUAAACUAACUAGAUUCAAAAGAUUCGUCUCGUCAAUUCCGACCAAACUGUGCAAUUAAUUUUUAUUUUCAUCUAUAUUUAAUACUCCAUGCAUGCGUCUAAAGAUUUGAUGUGACGGGAAAUUUGAAAAAUUUUGCAAUUUUUUUUUUAACUAAACAAGGCCUACAUUGUUACAAUCUUUGGCCCCAUAUUUCGUCUCAUGUAAUGCCAUGUAAAUUUUUUGUCGAUACAGAGAAAAGAGAUAAGAGAAGAGCACGAAGCAACACCUCGUAAAGCUAAUAGGAAUAUGAGACAAGUAUUGUACUAUUGUUUAUGUGUAAAUUAAAGAAUUAUGAGUUACCAUGAGACAAUUUAAAGACAACAAUUGCACAUAUUGUGUAUUAAGUUCUCUUAAAAUUACAUGACGCUAUACGAAAUCAUCUAUGAGACAACACAAAUAUACUUUGCCCUUGUACGAAAUAAGAGGUCAAGGCCUAAUAGGGUCCUGGCGACGCUUCACUGACAUUUCUACAUAGUCCGUACAAUCAAUAUCGACUAAUGACAAUAUUUUGUACUAGCAAAUAAACACCAAAAUGGGUUGAUAAAGAUUUUUGAAUAACUUUAAACUAGGCGUUGUAUGAUAGAGUUUGAUUUUAGAAAAAAAACAGAAACUAGUUCGUAAUUUCUAUGGUAAAACAAUUUCCUCAGAUUAAAAGAGAACGCAUUGUUUUUCAUGUAUUUCUAUUUUUCCAACUCUUUAGAUACUUGUAGUAUGAUUUAGCUCCCUGAACUUUCAACUUAAUUUGAGUUAAUUGUCUUGACGUGGCGCUAUAUUCAUAAAAUCACCAACAAAAACAUCCAACGCGUAAAAACACAUUUGAUUCAAAAAGUUGAGGACAAGGGGUCCAAAGAAAUGAUUUUGUAGUUUAGGGAGCAAAAUCAGAACUGUAUAGUUGAUGGAGGUAAAUUGAACUUUUCACUUAUAUAAGGCCGUGGACAAUUUUAUACAUACUAGAUGGCCCUUUGAAUUAGGUAGAAAGCCAUUUUCUUAUUUAGGGCUCGUUCGGUUGAUCCGGUUUAGGUCCCUGGAAUGAUUUCAGAUGGUUUUGCUUCAUUAAUUUACAUAGUUUUGAUAAGCUGGAAUGGUUUCUGGACCAAAAUCAUAGCAACCGAACGCAGCCUUAUUGGAAAACUCACAUAGGCCCGUUGAACAGCCCAUCAGGCUGAAAGUGCAUACUGGGCUUUCGCUCUUCCCAGGCCUUCACUGAUCACACUGGACCAAACCCCGUCAGCCCUACUCGGCAACUCGCCUCAGACAUCACAACGGCACUCCUUAGACUGUCUCCAAUAACAAGACCUAAAUACGAGACCUAUCGGGUGGUUUGAGUCGUGUACAGUUAAAAGGUCACGGACCUAAAACAUUGUCUAUUCCAACAGAGAACCCAAAAGGCGUGGCCCAGUUUCUCCUCUUCCUCCAUCGGGUGCUGCCUUGCUCCUCCGUCUUCGUCUUCUCCACGGCCGGCCACCGAGCAGCGAGCUCCGGCGCGAGAUCUGGCGGUUUCCAUGGUGGCAGUGAAGGUGUAUUCGGCAACCACGGCGGCGGCGACGACGCAGCGGCGGCGGCGGCGGCGCAGCAGAAGCUAGGGAAAGCCGCGUCACAGGCGUGGCGGGCGGUGGUGGAGUGGAUCGGCUUCCUCCUCCAGGUCCUGCUCUAGAUCCUCCGAGGCACGUCCUCGUACACCUAGCUCCUAUCCUUCGUUGGCUUCUACAACCUUCAUGUACUGGCUCAGCACCCCACAGCCAUGUGCGAGAGAUUUGCGUCGUUCCUCUUGCGAGACGCUUUUUGCGUUUCGUUUCAGCCGGUACCUAAAAUGGGUCCUUUGUUUGGGUCUUCUAUUGGAGCAUGUUUUUGGACAGGCAAAAUACUGUGCACAACCUAUUUUGUGUUUGGGUUAUAUUGUUGGAGACAGUCUUACCGUGUCGCUGCUUGUGGGGUCGCAUGCAAGAGUCACUGACCACUGGAUCCAAAAGAUCAGCUGCCACAACAGCGGUGUACACGCUGCAAAGCCAUUCCCGUUCCCGGUUCUACAGACACAGACACAGAGCAGCGCUGCACAACUAUCUCCAAUCCCGUCCAGAAACCCGCGCUGAGAAAAACCUCACGGCAACUAGGGUUCCCGGCGAGGGCGCGCGCGUCCAUGGCGCGGAGCAGGCGCGGCGGCUUCGGCGGCGGCGGCGGCAACGUGAAGGUGACGCCGAACCUGGCGUGGGACCGGGAGGGGACGCGGAUGCUCAACCUCAGCGUGCUGCGGCGACUCGACCCCGGCGUCGCCGACAUCCUCAUCACCGCCGCGCACGUCGUCGCGUACAGCUUCGACGAGGGCCAGGGGGAGUGGGUACGCUGUCGUACCGGAUCCCCUGCACUCUCCCGUUCGAUUUAGCUCUGUUGCAAUUGCGAGCCCUGAUUUUGUGCGCGCGCGUGUCUGCUGCAGACCCGGAAGCCUGUGGAGGGGUCGCUCUUCGUCGUCAAGAGGUUUGUGCAGUCAUCCUGUGUCCUCAUCAAUGGACUCGUGCUGAUUUCGUCCAUCGCUAUUGUUUGUGCCUUGCACUUGGCGUCGGUUUGGUUGUUGGAUGGAUGCCUAGAAUUCGUAGCUACUGUACUUCAAUGCUGCUGUGUAGGAAACGUAGUAUGAUUAUCUUCUGCCUGUUGUUCCUGCUGCUCUUGAAACAGCAAUGUCAUUUCAGUGCAAGUGAUUCAAGUACACAUGUUAUUUUGCAUUGUUGGCUUGUUGCUACCACAUUGAUGUGCCUUUUGCGGUAACCGCUAUUGGUCACAUGUUGGUAUUGUUAUUGGUUGAUUUAUACACUAUUAUUUGCAGUUGAUAAACAUAGUGCACACCUAUACUGGGUCACGUUUUUUGCGGACUAUAUACUAUCUACUAAUCUACUGAUUCGGCAGUGUAUGUUUCUGAAAUGUAUCAGGGUAAACACAGAUUAUUUUCCUAGACAACAUAGGCCACCAAGGAAUAUGUCCAGUAACAUUUUCUUUCCAUGCAACUGUAGCUUUGUCUGUUUAUUUUUUUAGUAAAGUAUGUCAUGACAGUUUCAUCAUGUAAUUUCGUGUUGUUCAGUAUUCAAUUAGUGACAUUGUUGAUGCUCUGGCAUACUUGUAGUUAUUUUAAAUUCUGAUGAAGAUAUUGGCUCUAUCAACCACGAAGAGUACAGGUCACCUUGUUUUAUCCUGUUUACUUUGCAAUAAUAAGCAUUUAUUCUUGUAGGAACACCCAGCCCAGAUUCCAAUUUAUCAUCAUGAAUCGUAUAAACACAGGUAUGCUUUCACAGCUACUUUAUUGAACACACACUUGUGCAAAUUCACCCUAGUUGAACAUAAGAAAUGUUGAAACAGAUCAUAGAUUGAGCACUUGGCGAUGAAAUACAAAUAUCAGUACAUAAUUUAGUUAAGAGGCUUCACCACUGGCCUUUCGAGCUAAGUUAAACUAUCAAAUGUUUCACUCACAAUAUAUUCACUGGGGAACGUGAUAACUUAGGCAUCAUAAGAGCUCCAUUAUUGAAAAUUGAUUCCUCUUAGGUUUACACUUGUGGCUGUUUGUGGCAUUGCACAAACAGAAACAGAAACAGAAACAAUGUUUGCUCAUUCAUCUGACAACUUUACCAAUCAUAAUUCUGUGUUGAUUAAGCGAAAUGUGGCUAUUCAAUUUCCAUUUUCCAAUGGUACCAACGUCAGUGAUGUUAUUUCUUAUAUGUGAAUUUUAUGUUGCCUUUUCUCCUAGAACAGAAAAUCUAGUCGAAGAUCUCUUGACGAGUUUUGAGGUUGAGGUGCAAAGCCCCUACUUGAUGUACCGUAAUGCUGCUGAUGAAAUCAUUGGAAUUUGGUUCUAUGAUCCACAGGAAUGUCAAGAAGUUGCACAUCUUUUUAGCAGGUAACUAUUUGAUCUGUUCCUUUCAAUUUCAUCCACACUGGUAUGUGGUAUCAUCCACCCCGUUUUGUACUGUCCUUUCUAGGUAGAUGCACCAAUUAUGCAAUUGCAGCCUUGGCUAAUCUCAUAUUGCGUUCCACUUCUGUGCUAAUAUUAUUCUCUUUUAAGAUGAGACUAAAUAACAAUUUAAUCUGUUCCUUUCAGUCUCAUCUACACUGGUCAGACAUUUAAAUGUUUAAUCAAUACAUCCUGACUCGUACUAACUCUAGUCCACUUUUGAAUUAUAGUUCCUUAUGUGUGCCAACUUGGUGUUAUAGAAGGGGAAGGGCAAGACAAGAUCUUGCAAGUUUUAUGUACUUUUCUUUAUUAAUUCUGAUUAGCCUCACAUUCAAUGUAUAGGAUAGCAUAUGCAUAUUCAAGGGCGUCACCCAAGACAAAUCUUUCUUCCAAAAGGUAUACCAGAUUUGCAUGCACUCCUGUUUUCGUUGGAAAGAAGGCUGUACCUGAUUUUUUUUAUGUCAGGAGUUGCUAUGUUUACUUGUUAUAUUUUUGUGUCCCCAUUUUCAUUUUACUAAUCAUUUCUAAUUUCAUGCUCAGUAUUUUCUCUUCACAUAUGGUCGUUGAUAAAAGUCGGGUUGCUGUUUUAGUCAUAUGCUAACUACAAUCAUCUCUUUCAGGAAGUAUGAUUAUUGCAGUAGAUACUCAUACAAAAGUAUCAAAAUAAUUUUGGCAUUAAAGCCCUUUUAGGCCAUGAGGUUUACUAACCACGUUGAUUAUUAGACUUUUCAAAAAAAAGAGGGACGAACAUUGAGUUGCUUGAAUAUAUUAUUGAAAAAUAAAGAGAAAAUACAAAAUAGUGUGAGUGUGACUUUUAGUUGAAUUGAUCCCCUUGAACUCAAAAUGUCACCACCUACAGUUGGCUAGGUGUUAUGUUGAAACUAUCUCUCCUACUAUGUCUGUUACAGUGUAUUUGAAGAACCAGAAGCAGCAUCUGGGCCAUAUGCUCUACCUGUAGUUGAAGAUACUCUACAACAGCCACCUACCACGGAUGAUGACGAUGUUGAAGAGUUCUUCCUAACCCCUUCGAAGGUAAGGAAACUUCCCUUCUAUUUCUCGGAUAGCUGUAGUUUAAUUUUAAUGUUGUUCAUAUUUAUUAUGAUCGUUUGCAAUCUUAAUUAACCAUUACAUGAAUUUCCUCAAACAGGCGGCCACAUGUGUACAUACAAUUGGUGGAACAGGCGCAGUACAACCAAACCAAUCUUUCAGGGCUAUCCCUUCUCCAGGUCAUGGAUCACAUAAUUCUACUGCAGCACACUCUUCUUCCCUGCACAGUCUGCUUCCUUCACGAACUUCAUCAGUUACUCUGAGGGCCUUUGAUGUUCAUAGACCCAAUAGCUCUACCACCAUUCAGCCUACAAGUCUUUUAGAUUCAAAACCACCACUACUUGCACCGAUGGCUACUACGCAGUCAACAGUAGCUAAAGCUGCUUCGUCACUGCCUACUGUUCCUCCACUUCAUCCUCCCUUUGCUGAUCAGCAACCAAAAAGUGCUCCCUUGCUCCACCCCUUUUCACUACCCCCUGUGCCCCCUGUUCCACCAUAUGGCAUGCCCUUGCUUCAACCAUUCCCACCUCCUAAUCCGCUGCCAUUGCUUACCCCAGCAUCUUAUAGCCAGGUGGUAACAAGAGAGCAAGUAGGCGCUGCACUGCUGAGGCUUGCACAGGUAUUCUCACUUCCUUGGACUCUGCUCGUUGCCAGUGCAUAGUAUUUUUGAGAGUUCGCAGUCAACUGAGGCUUGUUAUUCUACAAGGAUUUUUUUUUCUAGACCAAUCUAAUUAUUUCUACAAGGAUAGUUUUGUGCCAAUCUAAUUAUUUCUACAAGGAUAGUUUUGUGCACAGCCUUUCUGGACAGGGAUAAUUUUGUAUUGCGUUUUCACAAACAUGUCUGUUAAACAAAGCUCAACACAUCUCCCCUGUGAAACUUCUGCUGAGACUAACAUUUCUUUUGGCAGAAUGAUAAUUUCAUCGACAUGGUUUACCGGGAGAUGGCUAAGAGACCGUAACCAUGAAGAGAACAUGGUGGUGUGUCUGCGGCAGCUGCUUAGGUGUCUCAUCUUUUGCCUUUUGCCCAGCCUUUUUGGACACAUCUGUGGAAUGUGGUGGCUGCGGUUUAACAGCACUGUUUGAGUUGUAGUCUGAUAUAUCAAAUGCAGAGGCCAAUGGGUUUUAAACAACUUUUGUAGUUUGAGCCGUUGUGUGGGAAUGGGAAUGUUCCCGGGUAUACAACUUGCUGCUUGCGCAGCUGGCAGCUGCACCCAACAUCUGAGGUGAGGCGGUGAGCUCGUGUAUAAUUUUAUCCGAGUUUACAUUCUACUUUGUGAAAUCAAAAUCUGUCUGUUUAGUUCAGUAUUUUUAUGCCUGUUCAGUAUUCUGAAGGAAGCUGACAGUUGGUCGAGGGUAUGGAUGUAUGCUCAGAUCAUCCAGGUUGUGUCCUCAUCGAGGAGAAUUUCGGCGUCUAUUUUGUUCUUAAUAUAAAAAUCCCAUCUAUUGGUAUUUUUUUUUCUAUGUUCAGUACUUACUGCUUAUAAAGAUGAGCAAUAUUAUACGAGCCAUCCACAAAUGCAUGUAAUGGUCGGCCCCUGCGAUGAACAAAAUGGCAGAACGGUAUGCAUUGUCAAUAGCUAGCUGCAGCUUUUGGCCUUGGCGCAGACGCCUAUUUGUUCAGGUACUCGAUCGCCACGGCGGCGUGGAGCGCGGCUCCGAUGGGGAGCGCGGCCUCGUCGAUGUCGAGGUGCGGCGAGUGCACGUGGUGGAUCUUCCCCGUCUCGGCGUUGCGGACGCCGACGCUGAAGAAUGCCGCUGGGAUCCGCUGCGAGUAGAAGCCGAAGUCUUCGGCCGCCAUGAACUGGGGGCACAACCUCACGUUGGCCUCCCCGAUCAUGCUCUCGGCCACCGCCUUGGCGUGGCCGUACACUGCCUCGUCAUUCACGGUGGCUGGAUAUGGCUUCAUCUUCUCCUCCAUGAAGUCGACGACCGCCGUGCACCGCCCCACGGCGGCCUGCCCUUGUACCACCUGGCAUUAUUGCCAACGUUCAUUCCAGGGAAUUUGACUCAUUUCAUUUCAAAAUCCUACAGAACAGCCUGUUUGUCUUGGUUUGUUACCUCUCGGAUUCUCUUCAUGAGGUAGGACAGGCCUUCAGUUGUCAUGCUCCGGCAGGUGCCACCCAGGGUCACAGACUCUGGAAUGACGUUGAAAGCUUCGCCUCCUCUGAUGAAGGUCACGGACACCACCUGCAAGCGCAAGCAAAGAAGACGCCAAUUACACUCGCGAGUCAGUCGGGGAAGCCCGCCGCUGCAGAUCGCGAUGACGAAACGUACAGCGCCCUGCAGGGGGUCGAUCUCGCGGGCGACGAGCUGCUGGAGGCUCAGCACGGCGGAGGAGGCCGCGACGAUCGGGUCGACGACGAGCUGGGGCCCCGCCGCGUGGCCGCCUUUCCCGGUGAUGGUCGCCGUGAACCGAGCUGACCCGGCGAGGAACGGGCCCGGCCUAGAGCCGACGGUGCCCACCGGUAGGGCAGUGUCCACGUGCACGGCGAAGAUGGUGUGCACGUCGUCCAGGACGCCUUCCUUGAGGACAUAGUACCCGCCGGCGUGGCCCUCCUCGGCCGGCUGGAACACGAGCUUUACUGUACCCUAGGGACAAAAUCCACAAUUAUGCCAAAUGGCCAUUUUUUUAAUAAGAACUGGGAGUGAAUCACAUUAUGGUCAGCCCGUACACAUGGUCGACUCAGCAAACAAAAUUCAAAUGCCAAAUUAAAUGGCCAUUGGAGAACGCCUGCCUGCUCUCCCAUGUCCAUGCCCAAGUACAUAUAUGGUCGACUCAGCAAACUAAAUUCAUCGCCUGCUCUCCCAUGUGUUGAAUCUGACACGGACGAUCUGAAUCCAGCAUCUUGGCACAGCUAGCUGGAACCAGCUUCAGGAACAAUGGACGGACUCUAGUCCCGUCGUGGGUUUGGAAUGCCAACUCGAGACCUUCUAAAUUUUUUUGCAAAAUGAGUAUCGCAGCAUUUUCGUUUGUAUUUAAUAAAUAUUAUCUAAUUAUAAACUAAUUAAGUUUUAAAAAAAAUCAUCUCACAACUUAUAAAUAAACUAUGCAAUUAGUUAUUUUUUAUCUAUAUUUAAUGUUUCAUGCAUGUGCCGCAAGAUUCGAUGUGACGGAGAAUCUGAAAAUUUUUGUAAAUUUUUUUUUGGAACUAAACAAGGCCCUGAAUUUUGUAUUGCACAGGAUGCUUCGUUGAAAGUCAAGUAUCGAUCCUUUUUUAUCUCUUGAUUGAAAAUCGAGCAUGCAGAGUAAAAAAAAAUGGUGACAAGAGUAUAGUAUAGUACUACUAUAGUAGUACCUUGAAAAGGUCCCUCCUAGACUGAAGCAGCCUAGCAGCUCCGAGUAGCAUUGCCACGUGAGCAUCAUGGCCACAGGCGUGCAUCUUACCGUCCUCCUUGCUCUUGAACUCCCACUCUACCAAUUCCUGCAAAAUGCAUGCAAAUGGAGGAGCAAUCGGGAAAACUGGUCAUCGAAAUAUUCGACCAACCGCAUAUAUAGGACUCCAUGCUCACCAUAAAGUAUAGUAGUACACGUAGUAAGCAGAUGAAGCAAUAUCUCAUUUUCGUGCUUGAGUUGUCGGCAAAGAUCAUGUCCGUUCGGUUUUCUCUGUGUUACGAAUGCGACAGGCAAAGCACGCAGCCAGCGUGGGCAGUUUUAUAUUGACGUCGUAGACCCCGGUUGACAGAGCUCGGAUCGAUUUUGAUUCUGGCACUUCCGUAUGCAUGCUAUAGUAAGGAGCUGUGUUUUUUUAUCUUUUCUCCUAAAAUAAAACAAAAUAGAAGAUCCAUGCUAUUUUCUAUUCCAUCUGCUCUAUAGCCUUAGCAGCCAUGCUCCUAUAAUGAAACAUGAAAACGUGAAAAGGGACAGGAGGAAUAAUGUUAUUUUAUAACGUGGGCGUUCCCGAAUCAAGAAUGUCGUCGUUCUCAAAAGGCGAAACAUGGCCCAUGUUCUACGUUUCCGUCUGCUAAGAUUCUAGUUCCUCUAACAAGAAACUGUGCCAAAUAAGGCCUAUCGAUUAUGGAAAGUUGGAACGGAACACAUGACAAUAAUGCUGCUGGUCUCGGUCCGUCACAGUCCAGUUAGUACAAAAGAGACUGCAUGAUAAAAAGGAGAGAGCGCAUGAUACGUGAACUAUAGCUAGUACGUAGUGACGACACUGACAAGAAUGGCAUGCGGCAACGCGGCGGCAUACGAUCGAUCGAUCGAUCGAGGCUAGAAAAACAGAGAAUGCAAUGCAUGAAUUGCAAAAGUGACUGAUCCGUGCAAAGGAAAAAAAAAAGACCUGGAGAGGGAGCGCGUCCAUGUCGGCCCGGAGCGCGAACACGGGGCCCGAGGCGGCGCCGGCGACGGUGGCCACGACACCCGUCCGAGCGACGGGCCAGGCGUACGGGACGCCGAGCGCGUCCAGCUCCGCGCGCACGAGCGCGCUGGUGCGGUGCUCCUGGAACGCCAGCUCCGGGUGCUGGUGGAUCCGGCGCCGCACGCCGAGCUGCCACUCCGCGAACUCCGGCGCGCGCGCCGCGUCCAGGAGCUCCCGCGCCAGCGCUGCCGCCGUCGCUGCCAUCGUCUUCGUCAGGACAGGAAGAGGGAGGAGACGGCGGCGGUGUUUGACGUACUGAGUAGUGAGAGGAGACAGCUGCUCUGCUCGAUCGCCUUGUCGGCGACCGAGGCGGCUGUACGCGCCGCGCCGGCCGGCGGAGGACCCCCGCGAGGGAGGUCGCCGGAAUCGAGGGUGCGGCGCUGCAGGGCCACGCAGCGGCAGCCUGCGGAGCGGCGGGGGGCGCAGGGCGGCUGUAUGCGGCGCGCGGAGCGGGGAAGGAGGACGCGGCUGAGGUCGUGGGGGCCGAGGCGGGUCGGGGCCGCGCCAGAGGUCGGAAUGGACUGGUAGCGGUGUUUGUCGCUGGCGUCGACGCGGCACGGAAGGAUCGAGGGAGCUUUUCUUUUUUUUUUCUUUUUUUUUUCUGAUGAUGUGGAAGCGUGGAUGGCAUCCAAUGGUUGAAGGGAGGAUCCGACGGCCAGGGAAGCAGCACUGUAGAUGAACAGGAACAUGGGUGGCGAAAAGGAGAUGAAUAGAAAACCCAUCUUGCUGGGCUGCGGAUUAUGCUGAUGGAUGACGCGAAAACUGUAUAUUUAGUUAGUUGCACAAAUGAACGCAGUAAAUCCACAGAUGUAAUAACCAUGUGAAACUUUUAGAAACCGAUUGGUUGGCUACCAAAAUUUACCCAGCUAAGGAUUUGACAAGCCAUGGUUUUAGCUAAUGAUUAGUUGGCUUCCAAAACUUGCCAACCAUCUCCAACAGUUUGCCAAAAAUUACUUGGCAAAUCUUAUGAUUUGACAAGUGGCUAAAACAUAUGGCAAGUGAAAAAAGAUUGUAUCUCCAACAGUUUGGCAUUUGAGUUUGGUAAAAACAAAACACUCAUACAAUAAACUGUACGAAAGGAAUUCAACGCUACUCACUAUUCACUGUAGCUACGUGUGUGUUUGUGUUGCGUGCACUGUGCAGUGCAUCCACUCCUUUGACAAUUGACAUGCAUGCUCACUACUGUUCCUACUCAAUUUAUGUGAAAUCCUGCGCCACCUGUUGAACAACACGUCAACACUAUAACUUUACCGGAGAAAAGGUGUGUUGGAGACAAAAUAGUACCAGCAGCGCAGUGCUCAUCGGUCACACUAGGCUCCCUAUACACCGACAUACUGUACUGCAAUAGUAUGCAUGACACGGCAUGGGAACACAAAAAACAGACUAGCAGAGGACAAAAGCAGACUAGCAGAGGACACGCCUUGCGCCUGCUCUGCACGCCUGCUGGCCAACUUUUGCGGAUGGCAAACGGAGAUCGACGCGCAUAUAUACGCGCGUCGAGGCAGGAAAUAGCAAGUUACUAAAUUUUAGCAUGUCAUCUGACAAACUGUUGGAGGGGUGGUUUCUUUAGUUUUGCUAAAAAAUAAAGGAUAGCAAGUGGGUUUGGCAAACUGUUGGAGAUGCUGUUACAUUUGACUUGCCAAAUCUUUAGCAAUUUUUUUGCCCAACUUUUAGCUUGCUAAAUUCUUGGUAUGAUAAAUUUUGGUAAGCAACUAAUCAGACUCUUGUUUUUAUCUCGACCUUGUCCAACCACCUCCAUCAUUGCUAGCAGGAUGCCUAAAUUAAAUUGCUCUGCCGCCGUCCCCACCACUUAACCGUAGUCAAGCGUGGGCUCAUGCAUUAGGGUUAGGAAAGGAGAGAUAGAUGAAGGAGGUGGCCACAAGGUGCGCUAAAAAACUCAUAACUGAUUUUAAGUCUUUGCUUACUUUUUUAUCAUAUUAUUCACAUCUAAUCAAGAAGAGAGAGCGCGCUAAAGAUUUUAGAUUUUGGUAUUAUAGAAUUUUUGUUUUUAUUUGACAAAUAUUAUCUAAUUAUAGACUAACUAGACUCUAAAGAUUUAUCGUGUGAUUUACAGAUAAACUGUACAAUUAGUUUUUAUUUUCGUUUAUAUUAUGCUUUAUGUAUGUGCCCUAAAAUUUGAUAUGACGAGGAAUCUUUUUAGAUAAACUAAGGCCUAAACACACCUAACGAGCGAGACAAUCCGCCUGCCGCCGCUGCACCUGGUCUCUCAAAUCACAUCGAGAAGUUUUUUUUUUAAAAAAAAAAUCACAUCAAGAACAUAUCCUGUCCAUCUCCAUGCUUCCAUGCUUUCUCUUUAAAAAUACAUACAAAUUCAAUCGUACUAUCUCUGUCCUAAAAUAAAAGUUGUUCUUAUUUUUUGAGAAGUUAGUUUUAAACUUUAAUCAAUUAUAAUAAAAAAUAUUAAUAUUUAUCAUUAGAGAAAUUGUUGAAUAUACUAUAAUAAUAAUUUUUAUUUAGAGAUAUAAAUAUUACACAUAUUUUUUUCAUAAAUCUAGUUAAAGUUAAGAAAAUUUUACCAACAUAUAUUCCAUAACAUCGUCUAUUCUAAGAAUGGAGGGAGCAGACUGAUAAAUGAUUAGAGGAUGCAUGUUGAUGUAAAAAAUUUUAUUAGACAUUUUUUUUUGGAUAAGAGGGAAAAAAAGGAAUAUCGUAACCAUAAAUUUUUUUAACUCCUAUGGAUGUGAGUUUUUCUUAGUUUUUUAUCAUUUAAAAUUUAGUCAAUUUUUUUUUGUGAGAAUCUCAUAUACUAUGAUCAAUGAUAUAUAGUGUUUUAAUACUAUUUUAAAACAUUAGAAGAAUUCUACUUUUUUAUAAGCGGGUCGGGCUGAGGAAUGACAUGGUCACGCAAACCGGGCCACGACCUGGUCCCAUUGCAUGCUGAUUAGGCCUUGUUUGGAUACACUUAAAAACCCGCGGCACAUGUAUAAAAUAUUAAAUAAAAAUAAAAAAUAAUUAAUUACACAAUUUACAUGUAAAUUUACAUGUAAAUCGUGACACAAAUAUUUGAAGCCUAGUUAUUUUAUAAUUGGAUAAUAUUUAUCAAAUAAAAACAAAAGUGUUAUAAUAUUAAAAUCUAAAAAAAAACUUUUUAGAUCUAAGCCUUAGUGUUUACUCUUUUCGUUUCUCCUUGCGGAAACUUCGUUCAACCUCAAAUUUUGAUUAAACAAGCCUUUUUUUUUUGCAAUAUACAUACUAUAUCUGUCCAUAUAUAUUUUGCUUAUUUUUUUCGUACACUUUUAUGUGUUUUUUAGUUAUCGGAACAUGGGAGCACCUACGCGAGCAUCGGGCGCCGAUGGGCGAGGGCGCGAAUGUGGCAAGUGGCGGUGGCGCGCUGGGCACGGCGCGGUAUUUGCGACUCGCAGCGCGCGCUGGCACAUGUCUUCCUUCCUGGUGGUGGUGCAGCUCUUCAUCACGUUUCGAUUUUUUUUUUACCUUUUUAUUUAGAGAAGUUCUUCAAGUCUCGUUUUUAUUACUCUGAGUAGCCAGAUCACAUGUUCAUGUGCAGGCUAUGGUUGUUCGAGGCCUAGCUGGGCGCCUGGGCCUCGCUCGCCGCCGGCGAGACGUGUUUGUUCAGGUACUCCAUGGCCACGGCGGCGUGGAGCGCGGCUCCGACGGGGAGCGCGCCCUCGUCGAUCUGGAGGUGCGGCGAGUGCACGUGGUGGACCUUCCCCGUCCCCUCGUCGCGGACGCCGACGCUGAAGAAGGCAGCCGGGAUCUUCUGCGCGUAGAAGCCGAAGUCCUCCGCCGCCAUGACCUGCGGCCGCACCUUCACGUUGGCCUCGCCCAGCAUGCUCUCGGCCACCGCCUUGGCGUGGGCGUACAUCUCCUCGUCGUUCACCGUGGCCGGGUACGGCCUCAUCUUCUCCUCCAUGAAGUCCACCGUUGCGGCGCACCGGCUCACGGCGGCUUGUCCUUCUAUCACCUGCACCAUAGUCCAUGUAUGACAUCGUCAUUUGUUAUGCAAGGGAAUAAUAGGGAUUGUUAGACCAUUGUAUUUGUUCAUGUGAGUUUCAGAUUUGUCAGUGUUAACUACCUCUCUGAUUCUCUUCAUGAGAUAGGAUAGGCCAUCGUUCGUCAUGCUCCUGAAGGUGCCGCCCAUGGUGACGGAUUCCGGGAUGACAUUGAAAGCUUCGCCUCCUUUGAUGAAGGUCACCGACACAACCUGCAAUGCAAGCAUAGACAGCACGACGACGAAAUGCAUGCUCGCAGUUCGUCAGCAUUGCAGUCUUGGAGUUGCAGACACAAGUUCUGUACUGGUCGUGUACGUACUGCGCCUUGUAGCGGAUCGGUUUCGCGAGCAACGAGCUGCUGGAGGCUGAGGACGGCGGAGGACGCCGCGACGAUCGGGUCGACGACAUGCUGUGGCCCCGCCGCGUGCCCGCCUUUCCCCGUGAUGGUCGCCGUGAACCGAGCCGCUCCGGCGAGGACCGGCCCUGGCCUGGAGCCGACCAGGCCCACGGGCAGUCCCGUGUCCACGUGCACGGCGAAGAUGGCCUGCACGUCGUCCAGGACGCCUUCUUUGAGGACAUGGUAGCCGCCGGCGUGGCCCUCCUCCGCCGGCUGGAAGACAAGCUUCACUGUACCCUGUGGAUGAAAUAGUAGCAGCGGUAAAUGUGGUGGCUCUUUUUCACUGUACGCUAGGUGGCUCUUUUGUCUUUUGUACUUGUAAUUUGUAAAAUGAGCUAUUACUACUUGGAACGGAGAAAGUAUUAAGGUUUUGUGCUAUUGCACAUCUACAGUUUUAGUGUGCCAGUUUGCACAAACCAAAUCAAUAUUGUCAGUGAAGCAAUUAGAACCAAAUUAAGUUUCAGAACUGUAGAAUGGGUUACUCAAAUACUAUCUCCAUCCUAUUUUAGCUGGCGCACAUGCAUGUUAAGAUUCAAAAUUUAAAAACUUUGACCAAUAAUUAGGUUAAUAAUUUUUAAUACUCAAUCCAUCCCAAAUUGUAAGUCGUUUGACUUUUUUAAUAUCAAGUUUGACCACUCGUCUUAUUCAAAGUUUUGUACAAAAUAUUACUUUUUUUGUUGUGUAUUGGUUUAUUAAUAAAAGUUCUUCAAGAAUAACUUAAAAUUUGACUAUAUUUGCAUAAAUUUUUUUAAAAUAAGACGAGUGGUCAACUUGGGGUAAAAAAAGUCAAACGACUUACAAUUUGGGAUGGAGGGAGUAACUAUUAUAAUAUAAAUUUUAUAUGAUUAGAUUUAUAUGGAAUUAUACUAUCCAAUAAUUAUAAAUUUAUAAGCAUAGAUAAUAUAACAUAAAAUCAUGAAUGAUCAAAUUGUAAUUUAGAAGGCCGUGUUAUUUUUUUUGAGAGAUCUAAGGCCGUGUUAUUUUAAGUAGCGCAAGAUAAAAUGGAAAUGUUUCUAACAAAAGUGAGCCUAAAAAUGACCCAACAGUACCUUCAAAUUGCGCCUCCGAGACUGAAGCAGCUUAGCUGCUCCGAGAAGCAUCGCCACAUGGGCGUCAUGGCCACAUGCAUGCAUCUUUCCGUCUUCCUUGCUCUUGAACUCCCAUUCUACCAUUUCCUGCCAAUUGGAACUUGGGAAGUCAUGGUAAAGCCAAUAUGUUGACAACAUUAUGUUCUGUAUAUAGUGCUCUACUUAAGGGAUCAUCAUGAAGCAUCUCCAUUUGGUUUUAUGAUGACGCGACAGGCGAGUUGUAUGGUUGUCAGUCGCUCUCAAGCUUAGGCCUUGUUUAGAUCCGAAAAAAUUUUGAAUUUCGACACUAUAACACUUUCGUUUUUAUUUGACAAACAUUGUCCAAUCAUAGAGUAACUAGACUUAAAAGAUUCAUCUCACGAUUUACAAACAAACUGUGCAAUUAGUUUUUGUCUUCAUCUAUAUUUAAUGCUUCAUGCAUAUGCCGCAAGAUUUGAUGUGACAGGGAAUCUUAAAAAGUUUUUGGAUUUUGGAGUGAACUAAACAAGGCCUUACAUGUGGGGUUUUUGGUGAUACUGAGAAAUGGCGAUUUUGUCAUGUACAGCAGCGCAGGAGGCAGAAACAAACUUAAAUCAGCGCAAAAAAUACAAGAUCUGAUCAAAUUCAAGCCAUCGCAAGAGCCGGUGAUGACCUCCGAAUCAAUCAUUCGCAGAAGUCAAAACGAAUAAAAAACGAGGGGCACGGACCUGGAUGGGAAGCGCGUCCAUGUCGGCGCGGAGCGCGAACACGGCCCCCCCGGCCGCGGCGGGGCCGGCGAUGGUGGCCACGACGCCCGUCUGCGCGACGGGCCACACAUACGGGACGCCUAUCGCGUCGAGCUCGGCGCGCACGAGCGCGCUGGUGCGGUGCUCCUGGAACGCCAGCUCCGGGUGCUGGUGGAUCCGGCGCCGCACGCCGCGCUGCCACUCCGCGAACCCCGGCGCCCGCGCCUCGUCCAGCAGCUCACGCGCGAGCGCUGGCGGCGCUGCCAUCGACGCCGCGGCUCCAACAGACAGACGAGGUGGAGGCAGAGUGAGCUGGCCGGCCGGCCGGCGAGCAGAGGUGUCGGGAGUGCCGCUCGGCUUUGUCUGUUUCCGCGUGGAGCCCUCGGCGGUUUUGAUUUGAUCCGGCGGAAAGCAGAGCAGGCCAGCAGUGGAUCCCUCGUGCCGCCCGUGGCAAGUGAGGGUGGGCCCGUCUCCUUCCCACAGGGAAAGCCCGGCCCAAUAAAGGCAGCAACGGAAGCCGCGCGAGGAAAUUUUACUUUCGCAGAGAAGAAAAAGUAAUCACCAUCAAAAGAAGAAGAAGAAGAGGAAGAAACGGAAAUCAACAGGGGGGAAUUUUCCCUUUGGAACGUCGCCUUCUCCACGGCUGCUGCGAAACUGCAGCCCGCCAAGGAGUGGAGGAGAAGCCCAAGGGAGGAGCAGUAGCGGCAGUCAAAGCGUGGCGGGCGGGCAAGCUGGAAUCCAUUGAAUUGGAGCUGUCAAGGAAUCGGAAGAGGAACCCGGCUCUCCCCUCUCUCUCCACCCGGCGCCCCGCGUCGGUUCCCCUAAUCUGCGUCCGCGGCGUGAGAUGAGACGGUGAGAUUUCCUUUCGCCCUUUUCCCGGUGAGUUCCUGGCUCGCUUUUGGUUUGGUCCUCCGUCGUCGACGUGGAGGUCGGAUCUCUGAGUCACUCUCGUUCUCUUGUGGAACCGGCACUUUCGUUUCGGUUUGUGGUAGGUUUUUACCACUGGAUAAAUGAUCUGGCGCUCGCUGUGAUGUUAGGGUUUCCAAUUUAUGUAGUAUGUAUGCUGUUUCCUUCCGAUUUAAUUAAUGAUCGCCCCAUUUAUGUCGUGCUUGUCUUGUCGUGGACAUUAUUAUUGGUAUAUAUGUAAGUUAUGGUGCUGGAGUAGUAGUAUAUGUUAGAAUCAUAACGGGAAUUCACAGCCUUAUAUAUGAUUACUUGAAGCAGCAACGCUGAUGUACCCCCAAGAUGUUGUCACAGAGUUCGGUUCAAUCUAGUUGUACUUCUCUACCUGUGGGUGUUUCAGUGAUUGACUGAAGUAGUUUGACUUAUUCAUUUUGGUUGGUCCCUCUGUUAUGACGAUGAAGUGAUCUUUAGAAUAAUAGUUUGACAUUCAUAGCAACUUUAUUUGCCAUUACUAAGAUAUAGUAUCAUCCUUUUAAUGAGAAUGUUUCCUGUUAAUUGGAACUCUCUGAACAUUUAAUGUAAAAACAGUGGCAUUGUUAACUAUCUUUAAAACUGUUACCAGUAAACCCUAAGCUGUCUGGCAUUUAUUUCUUAACUUUUUUUAACUAAACUCUGGUGUUUUUUUCUUCAAAAGAUAAUUAAUGUGAUGUUCGACUUGUUGUUUCUUUAGCUAUCACAGAUUCUCUAAUUAGCUUACUAUGGCAUAUUUUAUAGGUUCUGUAAUUGCUGAUCGGCGUGAUGAAUUCGAGGCCAAUAGUUCUUAUCUUCCUCCUGCUCGUGCUCAUUAUCACAUCACAGUUUGAGUGGAAGCAGCAGAUUGGUGAGGCUGAGGCAAAUCCGACAGCUACUCGGAGGAGGCAACAGGCACUUGAAAGGGAAGAUGCUGUUAAAGAGAAAGUGAGCACUUGCAUUCUUAUUUUGUUGCAUUGAUGUUAUUUUGUUUAUCAGAAGCCCAAUAAUUUAUCCAUAACAUUUGUUGCAUUGAUGUUAUUUGUUUAUCCAUUUGUCAUGUUCUGACUUCUGAAUAAAUUGAUUUAGUCGUAUAGUACCUCCACACUGAUAGAGCUGAGCACAGAUAUUAAAAUCAACAUCAAAGUGUAGUCUGCAGAGGUUUAGCAAAACCUCUGGCUUUUUAGUUCUACUGGCUUUGUUUAUCAGGUGGUUGACUUAACAGACGAAGGCUUUUUCUGAAAUGGUUACUGCAUCACUCCUUUAUGAAUCUUUUCUGCUUACAGCUUUCUUCAUGUGUAAAUCCUAAUUGUAUAGAUCUGAAUUUGUAACCGACUGAAGUUUUUGCCAAAGGCUGAACAUCUUUGACUUGGAGCACUUGUAGGGUAUGACAUGACAUUUAUGUGUCCUGAAAAUACUCUUAAGUGCUUGUGGCUCAAAAGGUACUAUAAUCCUUUAACUCGUAUUCUUCACGUGCUUUUGAGUUAUUACAGUAGGCCCCAAGCUCGAUAGUUUUGACGGUACGGUAUGCAAGGUUGCUUGCAGUUCAAGGGAUCUGUGGUUCUUUUUAUGUUGCAUCGAUUUGUUUUCAUAUGUAUAAUUGGAAUAUGGUGAUUUUAGUGGCCAUUUUCUAGCUUGCUCGAUGACAUUGCAGUUAACCUUAUUGUCAUGACUAGAGUUAACCACUUUGUUUACAUACUUUUGCUGGAAAUACCUUUGGACUGUGAUGAUAGAAGACGACAAUCAAUGGUUUUGUAAUUCUUGGAUAAAAUGAAAUGGGUGUUUGAUUGUAGUCUUAGGGUUUGAGCACUUUAAAAGCUCUACACCAGUUUCAUAAUUUUCUCUGCACAUCGUGUAGCUGGCUUCAUCUGUCAAGUGAUUCCUACACUGUUGGCCUUUUGGCAAGUCUUGAGGAAGUUUCACCGUUCCAUAUUAGUACCUGUGAAAAGCACAUUUUUCAUUGUCAGUAGCUAUGCUAUUACCUGAACAACUGUCGCCCUCUUCUUUGAUCAUUACUUUCAUAUGGAUUCAAAACAUCUGAGUCUCAGGUCAUUAUGUUAAAAAAACAUUUCAGGUCAUAAUUUAAUGUGUUACUUACAGGUAAUAUUGGCACAAGAGAAGAACAUUCAGCAACUUAACGAGCUUAUCCAGAGCCUUCAGCUUCAGCUAUUGCAUUGCCGGGGCAGUAACAGUACUGCUCGCACCACCUCAAGUCAGUCGACAGUGGAGUGGAGGGAAAGGAAAUGAUUGGUGAUUGAUAACCCCUCGUCCCCUCCCUCUGCUGACAUAGGUAGUUUGCUUCAGAGUAUAACCAAGACAAGAACAGAAGCUCUUCAGGCAAUGGAAACUCUUGCUGUCGCCAUCCGGUGGGCAAUGUUGAUGUACUGGUAUUGUGUGCUUUACAUCGUCACCUCCUUUUGCGUUCUCACCCAGCUUGUACAUGGUUUUAGUAUGUUGGUAUAGGUUACUUUCCUGAUCAAGGUUCGAAUAUGCGCGCCAGUCCUUUUUUGUGGUUGUUGGUUCUUUUACCUCUAUAAACAAAUGUGCUCCAAUCUGUACAUAAUGGAUCAUUUCUUUGUGUUGUGACGGCGGGUUUUCAUGCUCGGCAUGUCGCAGAGCUCUUGAUUCUAUGCAAGUUGUAGAUUCAAAAUUUUCCCCAGCAAAUUUUGUUCUUUGCUGUAUUCAUUCAUGCACUGGCUCCCUUUGUCCUCCGUGAGCGUUCGACAACGAAGCGAAGCGGAGGGUGCAAGGAAGAGAUAAAGGAGCAUUCUCCAAUCUGAAGCAAGGGAUUGAGUUCCACUUUGCUGCAAUGAAGAUAUGUGUAGUGUACCAAGCAUUCUCUUCUCGAUGCGAUUGUGCGUUGCUUUUGUAAAUGCAUUUGAACGACAAAGCCGUGCUGGUUUUUGGAACAUGUGAAAAAACUUGAUCUGUUUUAAUUCGACGAUAAUUGAACCGCCGGUUGCUGCGAAAUUCGUUGAAAUUUAAUUUAAUUUAAUUUCCGGGUCUCAAACAAGCCAAGCACACCCCAAACUUUGCAUUACGCAUGCAUGGCAUGCAAUACGAAGCAAUGAUAAUGACUCCAAACUCUUACGAAGAAAGGGAGAAAAAUAAAAAGAAAACGAAACCAAGCAGCCAAACACUGUUUAACGAUCUAUGAAUCCAAUGCAUGUAGAAUUGCAGAUGCAGCAAGCGACGAACAACAGUUCAGCACCCCUUCUGCGAUGACCGGAGCACCUCGCAGCUGGUCUUCUGGAAGACGACGGCGCCGCCACCGUCCGGCGAUCCGAGCUGCAGGUUGAGCGGGCACUUGGCCUCGAGCCUGCACCACGUGCUGUGCAGCUGGUACUUGACCUGGCCGGAGAGCUUCACCUCGAUGUCGAACGCCCCCUUGGCGCUCUGCUUCCUGUACGCCCUGACGCCGGCGCUGCCGAGCAUGGCGUUCACGGCGUCGGCGCCGCUGGAGAGGCGGAACACGGCGGUCUUCCUGGCGGGCAGGACGUAGGUGGGCGAGGCGACGACGUCGACGCGGUCGAACCGCUGGUCCUCGAAGAGGUAGUCGGCCUGGAGGGACCGGAAGGCGGCGCCCAUGGCCCAGUUGCGGUUGCGGACGGCGAGCGUGAGCGUGAGGUUGUAGGAGAUGGCGGUGGCGGGGGAGAUGGCGACGGCGAAGCGCGUGAGCGAGGCGUCGUCCACCUCGAACGUGGGCUGCGCGGCGUGCCCGUAGCCGAGGACGAGGACGACGAUGACGGCGACCGCCGCGAUGAUGGCGAGGCCGAUGCAGAAGCCGCACGCGAAGCGUUGGUACCGCGGGGCGAAGCAGGCGCAGCAGCACUCGCAGUCGUCACACAUGAUGGAGAAUUGGAGAUGGAACGAUCGGCCGCCUUUGCACGUACCAAUACAAGGUAAAGCUUGCUUGCUGGCUAUGGCGAAGUGCGCGCGCGCGCGUCGUGUGUGACGGUUAUGACAGUUUGUGUUGUAAUAAAUUGUGAGGCCUGUGUAUAUGAUGUCUGUUCCGUCUUAUAUAGGUGUACUAUGAAACGUGAAAUGUACGUACGUACAACGCGUCAAACUUGGAUCGCAAUAUGCUACUACCUUUGUAGGGUCACUUUAGAGCUUUUUCAAAUGUUUUUUUUAAAAAAAAAUCAUUCCCUACCACUACCCAUCCAUCUCCAGACUCUCUUAGGCCCUGUUUAGUUCACCCCUAAAACCCAAAACUUUUCAAGAUUCCAGUCAUAUCGAAUUUUACGGUACAUGCAUGGAGCAUUAAAUAUAGAUGGAAAUAAAAAAUAAUUACAUAGUUUAUAUGUAAAUCGCGAGACGAAUCUUUUAAGCCUAAUUACUCCAUGAUUGGACAAUGUUUGUCAAAUAAAAAUGAAAGUACUACAGUGUUAUUUUGUCAAAUUUUUUUGAAACUAAACAAGGCCUUAGGAAGCCCCUUAUCAGUUGACCUGAAAGGAAAUUUUAAUACCUGUGCCCAUCUAUUAAUCUCCAAGCUCUGCUAUCCCCAUCAAUCUUCUCUUGAGAAGCCAGAAGGAUAACUCUACUUUUACUAUAGUCAUGCCCCUUAAUUUUACCUCAAGCUCCACCAUUACCUACCAGCAUCACUUUUCACUCGCUCUCCACCAGAAUCACUUCACUAGAGAAUCAAAUAAAAGAGUGGAGCUGAAGAAUCAGGGAGUGAGUUCAAUCUCUCUUGAGAAGCCCCUUGAUCAGUUGAUCUGAAAGGAAAUUUUAAUACUUGUGCCCAAAUACUCCAUUGUCUACAAAUGGAAGCAUUUUUAGCAUGAUCCAAAGUUUGUAUGCAGAUGAAAUAAACAGUGGUUAUCACAUUUGAGUUAGUCACAUUAAGGCCACAUGCAUGGUUAUCUUGGCCCAAGUACUGAUUUGAAGUAUGGAUGCAAGGACAGUAUAGUGUUUGCAACUUUGGUAUGAUUGGGAAGCACAAAGACUUAUGUCUUCCUUUUAACUUUGGUUGCACUAUUAAAAGUUAGUCACGACGAAAGUGUGAGCUGAGAGUGUUUGGAUGCACACAUUUGAGGAACUCCCACUAAGUCAAACACAUUUGAGGAAGUCCAAUUGGACGAGAUCCAACUUAAAACGAAGCCAAACACACCGGAGCUCACAAGAGGAAUUUUUAGCUACUCAAAUAUUUGUUACAAGCAGGAACAAUGAAAUUAUGUAUGCAGUACAUCUACUCAUCUAGGACCAGAAACUUCAGAGGUGAUUUAUGGUACGCCAUAUAUAAUGUUUGCCCUUACAAGAAAGAUAUCUGAAAUGUGCAUGUGUAGCUAGGAUGCUGAUGUUAAUCCUCGGAACAUGGGCGCUCCAGGAAAACAUUACUGCAAAGUUGGGAUGCCUUCCUGCAAAACGUAGGCAAUGACUAGAGCAAUCGCAUAAUGAUCAGCUCUUGCUUUCAGUACUUUCUGCUGAAGUAGAGGAUGUUGUCGACGCUGUGAGGUCCCUGGCGCAUUGUGACACGUAUGGAUUGAGCUGCAAUCAUCCACACAUAUGAUUCAUGAGAAACUGCAGGAAAAGAUUGUAACUCAACUAAUCUUUGCCACAUAAGGGGUUAUAGGUGACAAUUGUCCAUCUUCAGGCCCUCUCUUUCCCACCAGUUCUAAACUCAACGUUGCUAUGGUAAUAAAUUAAAUAAAAAAUUUCGAAAUAACUAUUUUGUGUUGAGUUUGGCAUUUGCAACUACUUUCUUAUUAUCACAGAUUCGCAUUUUUAACCUCAAUUGGGGCACCGGUGCUCCAAGUUCCUUGUGCUGAAACUGAAAGUAAAUUGACUGUCUUCCACAAUUUCGUCCAGCAAACAAACUAACUGUGGACUGAAGAAGAUAAUUUUGAUACUUGAUGCUUAAUAAUCUGAUCAUGCUAUCUAAGUCUGUAAAGUGCGAACCCCCCAAAAAAGGCAAUUACCUUGAAAUCAGUCAAGUCAGGGACAACAAAUCUUGGCAACUUUUCAUCAACAAUCACAUAUCCACCUACAAAAGCAGUUAAGCUUUUAAGAUAAUACCUUAUAAAAGGAACGAGUACAAAUAUUUACUCACACCGAUGAGAAAGGAUUGAAUGGAACUAAAAUGACAGCAAAUGCAGCUUAAUAAUAGUUAUAGUAUGAAAAUGUUGACUCGAGAAGUAAGAUCAAGAGUGCAGUGUGAAGAAUGACUUCUUACAGGUGCUCUACAGACUACAGGUACAUUGUGGUGGGUACAAACUAGGCAUGAUCUGAGGCUGAAACCAGCAAAGACAUUACCAUCUAUAGCGACUGCACCACAUAUGCUGAUCUACGUAUAAAAAGAGACUCCAGGUUUGUCAGGUGCCACUGCUGCCUCCUAAUAUUCAAACCAAUAAUAAUGUGGGGUGAUAACCCAGAUGAUUUGCCAAGUGCCACUUGCUCUCUUGGUUCUUUGCUUUAGGAAUUCGAUGCCCUAAGUGCAUUAUUUUUCAGUUACUCUACAAAUGCACCUCAUGUGUAUUUCUGAGAUUUAGGAGACUCCAGGUUUGCAUGUGAGUAUUAGUUGCUUUUAUAUUUAAGCAACAAAUUAUUCUAAAAAUUUCUUCAUUGUACUUGAUAAAUCUGACUAAAAAUUCGAUCUGCCACUACAAAAACUCAAAUUACAAAUUUACGCUGUUCAAAUGACCCAAGUAUCCGGGGACUUGUCUGGAUCUGUUUGAGCAAUGGAAAUACUUUUCCAUUUACAGAAAAAAAGUAUCUAAUUAAUGCAAUACCAUCAUCAGUUCGUUUGGCUCAAAAAUGCUAAUAAUUUCAAUUAACGUCAUUAUGUUUUUCCAGCAGAUGGCCUCGUCAAGCGACAACGAUCGCACACUUCACUCCUGUGAAUUCUCAUUCCAAUAUCUCAAUGAUCACCAAAUCUUGAUCUUGCAAGCAAGGGUACGAAUUGACGAACUGCACCAAAACUAAACAUAGCCCAAACGACAAAGCACGGGCGACCUGGGAGGCUGGACUAGUAGACGGUAAAAUGGUACCUUUGCGGGUGUGGAACCCGGUGGGCUUGCAGUUCUUGCCCUUGUAGUAAUCCCGCGGCGCCCGCUUGGAAGAGAGGAUGUCGAGCGAGGACAGCCGCUUCCGCCGCAUCGCCCGCCCCAGCGAGCCCAGCGUCAGCCCCAGAGGCAUCCUCCGACGUCGCGUCGAGCGAGAAAGCAAGCGACCGCCUUCCCGGCAGAUUCCUGCACAGCACAGUUGAGGGGCAAAAGGAUCAGCGCGUCCCCGGGGAGAUCGGCGACGGCGGCGCGAGGAGGGGGAUGGCGAAGGGGGUCGGAGGCCGUAGGCGGCGGCCCAAUGGGCCUGACUCGCGCGUGAAAGUAAAAGCCGAGCAACACCGGCCCAGAAAGCCUUCCAGCCGUCAAACUGAGUCGAGCUGCCCUCAGCAGUCAGCUCUACUGUUGCGCGUGCACAUUGCGAUCUGUGUGCACACACCUUUCAGUUUCAGUUUCAGGAAAUGCAAUACAUUGAAUCGUUGAUGUUCCAUUAUGUAAAUACAAGUUGCAUUUUAUAAAGCUGUAAAUACAUGUACAUUAGUCACAUCCAUGUUCUCGUAGAUGUGCAUAAUUUGUUUUGUGAUGCUAGUUUUGUGCUCAGCAUUUUUCACCCUCUUUGCAGUUUGUAAAUCCAAAGUUCCCUCUCGAGCAUUUUUGUUCUUUGCAGCUUGCCAACGUUGCACUCGUGCACCUGAUUCCAUUUCGGACAAUGAAGGCAACCGGCAUGCUUCCGCUACUUCUCUUUUUUUUAUUCGAUCGAUUCUCAAAUGCAUUUGUGUAAACGACACAUAUCCCUCCGUCCACGAACGAACUAAUUUCUAGAAUCCGUGCCAGUCAAAUUUUUUUUAAAUUUGACUAACUUUAUACAAAAUAGUAUCAACAUCUAUGACAUAAAAUGCGCAUCAUAUGAAAAUAUAUUCUACAAUGAAUCUAAUGAUACUAAUUUUAUACCAUAAAUCUUAACAUUUUUUUCUAAAAAUUUGGUCAAAGUUUAAAAAGUUUAACUUAGGACAACUCUAGAAAUUGACUCUUUCAUGGACGGAGGGUGGAGCAUGUCUGUCCCAUCCACUGGCGGAGCCACCGCCCGGCCACCCCAGGCGGCCGGCCGGGCUCCUCGCCAAAAUACAAAAAAAAAUCUUCUUUAUAUCUAUAUAAAAUUCUGUGAUUUUAUAGUUAAAUAUUUUUGUUUAAUGAAAAUUGUCCGGGCUCUUGAAAUCUUCUGGCUUCGCCACUGGUCCCAUCUUAUGUUGGUGGUGCAACUAGCUCUGAAACAUCAAAUGUGUGUACAACACGUCAAACCAGGGUCUUAGUGUGUAGUAUAGGGUCUGUUCGGAUCCAACCUACUGAAAAUUAGCACUAACUAUGUUUAUGUUGGUGGUGCAGCUAGCUCUGAAACAUCAAAUGUGUGUACAAGUACAACACGUCAAACCAGGGUCUUAGUGUGUAGUAUAGGGUCUGUUCGGAUCCAACCUACUGAAAAUUAGCACUAACUAUGUUUAGAUAGACUAAACUUGAACUAAUUUAAAAAAUAAUGCAUCCGCGGUGACAAAUUGGUGAGACAAAUCUAUUAAUCAUAGUUAGCUCAUGUUUACUGUAGCACCAUAUGAUCUAAUCAUGAACUAAUUAGAAUUAAUUAAUUAAUAGAUAGAUAGUCACAGAAAAGGAUUAAUUAAUUAAUAGAUUCGUCUCACCAAUUAGUCACAAAAAUUCUCUUCAAUGCCAAAAAUAAAACUAACCAAGCUAAUUACUCAUUUUCUUAGGUGCUAUUUGAGACCGUUUAAUUCAUUUUUCCUUGAGCGCCAUUCGAAACUGCCAAGGAAGUUAAAAUUUUUGAAUUUCCCAAAUGACCUAGAAUGGAGAUAAUGACCUAAUAUAAUCCAAAGUUAUAGUACUUGACAAGAUAUAAAACUUUUUACUUCAAGCCGUUUACAUUUGAAAUUAUUUAGGAUCUCAAAUAUUCAUUAUAAGAUUCACUAAAGCGAAUACAAAAGAAAAGAAUAAUUCAUUUAAUCAUAAGUUAAUCCUUUUUUUUGAGGUGGUAAAUGUGUUUUCCUUGGAGGUUGCUAGCCUUCAAGAAAAAUAAUUUGCUUCACGGUUAGGAAUAUUUCCAUGAAGAUUGUUGGCCCUUAAUAAAAAACUAAUUUACUUGGUGGUUGGAAUAUUUUCAAUCAAUCCUCGUGUACCAUGCAUUUUGCAUGAAAUCAGGGGAAUGUUAAACGAACAAUGACAACGCCGGGCUACUGAUGACGAACAAACAGCACCUCAAGCUCCAGUACCUCUCAGUUCAGUUGACUGCACGUCUGCUCAUCCGAUGGACAGAGUCAACGCCUCCUACUUCCUUCCCACACAACACCCAGCUGGACUGGAGUCUGGAGCUCAAUAAACUCUUGCCCAAAUCACAACCACCCAACAGGAAUCGCAGAGGAAGAGGAUCAUAAACAACUGACAACGAAUCGAUCGUCUCAAAUCUCCACAAAUUUCUACACAUCCAAUUUCACCACUCCUACAAAUACUCUUCCAAUCACACACAACAACAAUCUCUUCACUUGCAAGAAGAAGAAGAAGAAGAAGAAAAAAUCUUGUCUUGAAGAAUUAAUUUUACAGGAAGGAAGCAAGAAACUAGAGAGGUAGCCCACCAAGCAGAAAUUGAGCUAGCCAGGCCACCAAUGGAGAGCUGGAGCAGAGUAAUAAGCUAGCAGCCGGACUUCUUGGCCCGGAGGAUGGUGCACUUGGUCCGCUGGAACGCGGUGGCAGCGACGUCAGGGUCGACGAGCUGGAGCUGAAGCGGGCAGAUGACGACGAGCGGGCACUUGGCGGACCGGCCCUUGUACUGGAGCACCGUGUCGAGCCGCAUCUCCACGGCGAACUUGCCCGUGUCGUUCUCCGUCCGGAACUCCCCCACCCCGGCCUUCGCGAGCUUGAUGGGCUUGUCGACGCCGCCGACGGUCACGCGCACCGUCGCCGUCUUCCGUGGCUUGUGCUGGAACGCCGGGACGGACGCGGAGUCGUCGAAGCGGGUGCCGUUGAAGGAGAAGGCCACGGCGAGCGCGCCGUAGUCGAUGGCGCGGUACAUGUUGGGGUUCCGGAGCGACACCGUGGCGGUGAGGUUGUAGGAGACGGUGGAGUUGGACGCCGGGUCGGCCGGGGACAGAGCGAACCGCUGCAGCACGGCGUCGUCGGCGGUGGCCUUGGGUGGGCGCACCACGCCGAAGGCCAGCACGAGGACGAUGAUGACGGCGCACACGACGAGGAUGGCGACGGUCCAGAUGGCGAUCCGCGUCCAGCUGCAGUCGGAGCAGCAGCCUCCGCCGUUCUUGCCGCUGCACCAGCCCUCGUAGAACGCCAUGGCCGGGUCGGGUGUGGGGUGGUUGGGGGGAACGCGGAUCUUGCCGGGCUGGCUCUCUGUCUCUGAGACUGAGAGAGUGGGGGAAAAGGAUUCUUCCAGCUGAAAGGUGUUUGGUGUUGAGAGAAUCAAUCGCACUGCCCCCCCUCACGGCCUCGCCGAUGGAUGUUGUUGUUAAAGGCUAGCUAAAUGCUAAAGGGGCGGAGGGAGGGCCAGGAGACGACGACGAAGACGAAGACUUGGGCGUGCGGGGUCAUCGCCGGACGCGGAACACGGAGGAAGGAGGUUACGCUCGGAGAAACCCACCCACCAAUCGGAAAUCUUGGAGAAAUGAAAUGGCAAGUGACAUGAAACAGGACGAGAGGAAGGUGACCGUUGCGUUGCGGGGAAACUGGCAGGGUUUUUUUUUUUGGAUGGACGGAGAUGCUGCUGUAAUGCUGUUCACCGGCCGCCGGACGCCGGUAGCCGGUUGGUGGUGCACUUUACUGAGGGCCGCGCCAGCAGCGCCCGUGCCAGAUAGGCACCCGAGGGCUGCGGGUGGACCACCCGAGGGCUAAUAGUCUAAUACAGUUUUUUUUUUGAGGGAGUACAGUACUCCGUAUAUUAUAUAAUGAUGAAGAAGCUGUAUAUAUAUUCCAUAAGGGCGCAGAGUAUUAAAAAACACUUAAACCAAAUUACUCAACCCUUGUUUACCUGCAUCCCAAUCUACCUCAUUGCUAAACCAGUUAAUUUUACCUCAUUGAUAAACCAGUUAAUUUUUACCUUCAAUCCAUCCCAAUACAUAUUAGAUUUGGGGUGGAUUGAAGUGCAACCAAGCAAGCCUAAUAGCGUGUUUCAUUUGAGGUGGUUUAUCAAUCAAUCUAUAACUAUGUUGAUUCCACCAAAAAUCAUAGGAUAAUAAACUUGUAAUGCACCACCUCAAGUAGCAUGAGACCAAAUAUACCCUUAUAUUUUGCUAGCACACAAAGAGAGCCAACAUACCUCUUUUCCCCCCCUCUCCUUCAAAUGAGCUGAAAAUGGAUGAAGCUAUUUCCCCACCCCCCCCCCCCCACCCCCCUCAAGAGUCCGUAGACCAAACAAUUUCUUAAAUGAUAGUUCAAGGUAAUCAUGUCACUGAGGAAUCAGAUUAUCCAGUGGAGACCACUGCUUUGCAGCACAUCGAUUGCAAAAUGUGAAAUCCAUCCAUUAUUAUUGAUACAAGUGUUGAAACAUCUAUCAGGUUUUUGAUAUUCAGCUUGGACUCGGAGCCAUAAUACAUCACAAUAUAAAUAAAUGGCCACAUCUAUCUAUCAGCUAAAAAGAUUAGCAAAUACAAAAUCUGCUGUACUGAAACAAGCCAAAAUUUAGUCUGCUGCUACUUUCUUCAGCAGCCACAUCUGUCACCAAUAGUGUAUCUCUUCUUAACUAGAAUGGACUAUUGCUGAAUCUUCAAGACAGGAAAGGCAAUAACAUCCCUUAUGCUAGAAGAGUUUGUCAAAAGCAUUACUAACCGGUCAAUACCAAGGCCCUGAGGUAAGGUUCCACAAAAAUUAGUCACAGAAGACAUAGGUUCUCAGUAAAUAACUAGCAGUUCCAAGAACAUUAGCAAAUUAGCAAUCGUGAAAUAAACAAUUUAAUCAGUCAUACCAUUCCUGAUGCUGGUGGCAUUCCGUAUUCUAAUGAAGUCAAGAAGUCUUCAUCUAAAGAAACUUCAUAGGAAUAAUCAUCAUCUCCAUCACCCUCAGUAGAUUUCACCUCCUUAGCCAUUGCAGCUCGCUUAACAUUGUGCUGUUUUAUUUGAUUUUCAAAACGGCUCCUCUGCAAUAAAGAUAAAAUGCACAUUUGAAGUUAAAGUGGUCAAGAAGGAUGUAUGUGAUUUCCAUCUAUCUUAAUGAUCACCUAAAUAACAUAUUCCAGGUGUUCUGGGGGAAUUUUAAGCUAUAGUGCUAUAUCACAGACAGAACGUUGGAAGUAAACCAACCACCUUAAUUUGCCUUUGUUUUCAUUUAAGUAUAGCCCACAUUAGAUGCCAGUGGAACAAAGAGAAUUUUGAAGAAACAGAAACUGUUCGUAAUGGUAGACCAUUCUAUACAAAACAAUGUAGUUUUACAGAUUGUCAACUGAAAUAGUGUCAAAUGCGUAAAAUUCCAAAUACUCAAUAUUUGAUACUCUUUAAAGAAAAGAACUUCACAAAGAAAUGCUGCAAAUGAUGGCACUUCGGCAUGCAGUAAGAAACCAGGACAUUCUUACCUGAUCGAUUGGGUCUGUGAGUUCAGAAAACGCAUUGCCAAUCUCACGACCACAGAUGAAAAGUUCGAAUCGCUCAGUAAGGCCAACAUGACUACAGCAAGAGGAAAAAAAUUACUGAGGUGAAAACAAAAGGUCAUAACAUAAUGACAUGCACCAAAACUCUAAUUAAAGAAUUAAAAUAGACAAAACAGCUCAUUUGUAAUGAAAGGUCCCUAGCAUCCAGGAACAUACAUUACAUAAUAAACAGUGUAGCACUAGCACGUGUCAGAAACCAAAACAUUUUUAUCUUGUGGCCUUUAGCAGAGUUUGCAGAUUAGUCUCAGCCGUUUCUAAAGUAUGUGUGUUUGUGCACAAUUUUCCAUUCAUAAGAGUUGCUUGUACAAGGAAAAAAACAGGUUCAAACAAUGAACCUUUGACUUUAAAGUGUCCUUAAUAAAAAAAAAUAUUUCAACAUUGACUGUCGAUUUCUUUGAUGGCAUGGUACAAUUUUAACCACAAAAAUGGAAUAAAAUAUUGUCACUCAACCUAUUUCAUUUGAAUCUCAAAAUAUGUGGGUGCCAUGCAAAAUGAAAUAGGAGUGUUUACCUCCGAUGUGGUUUUGCCAAUGGUGAUAUCUCAACUGGGUAGUCAAGGACAAAUGUUGGUUGUACAAGAGUAGAUUCAACAAAAGUCUCAAAAACCUGGCCAUGAGAUGUAAAAUUGUUAAAUGAGGCUCAUGAGCUAAAACAACCAA